AUUUCCUUUCUUUACUGGAGCCAGUUCAUUUCUUAUUCCCAUAUCGACCAAGUCCAAUCUUGCGUUGACGCCAUCUUUAGACUUUCCUGGAACAUUGAGUAACGUACCAAUAACACUUUCAAAUACAUUUUUUUCAAUAUGCAUCACAUCGAGGAAAUGUCUUACAUACAAUGACUUCCAAUAUGGCAAUUCAAAGAAAAUUGACUUUUUCUUCCACCCAGUUUUCACCAGCUCUCCCGCAAAAGGUUUGCCAAAUUUAUUGGUCAAACCUUGUACUUUUUCAAGUAUUUGAUAUCUAGUCAGUGCUAAAGGAGCUUUACCUUCCUCUGAUUUUCCACUGAAUGCAUUUCUCCACCCACGAUACUGAUGACUAUAAGGUAAAAAUCUACGAUGUCCAAGAAACACAUUCUUCUUAGAAUGUUUUAACCGAAUCCAAUUUGUACUCUCUUCACAUAUAGGACAUGCACACUGAACUUUAAUGUUAUAUCUUGAUAAAUUACCAUAUGCUGGAAAAUCAUUAAUUGUGCUGAACAAUAUAGCCCUCAAAUUGAAACAUUCUUUCUUAUACCCAUCAUAAACUUCCACACCUGUCUCCCACUUUUUAAAUCUUCAAUUAAAGGAGUCAAGUAUACGUCGAUAUCAUUCCCCGGUUGUUUGGGUUCAGAAAUUAACAGAGACAACAUCAUAAACUUACGCUUCAUACAUAACCAUGGAGGUGGGUUAUAAAUCAACAAAAUCACGGGCCACGUGUUGUGUGAGAUGCUUUGAAGACCAUGUGGAUUCAUUCCAUCAGUAGAAAGUGCAAGUCUUAGAUUUCUUGACUCUAUCCCGAAUUCAGGAUACUCGUGAUCAAUUUUUGCCCAUUAUGGGGAAUCUGCAGUGUGUCGAAACAUUCCAUCUCUAAUUCUUUCAUCUGCAUGCCAUGUCAAGUGUUUUGAAUCUUCUUCACUUCGAUACAUGCGCCUAAAUCUUGGUAUUAUAGGAAAAUACCACACGACUUUUGCUGGAGUAGAUUCUUUCUUCUUAUAUCGAGAGACAUUGCAUUUCGGACACGCCUUAAGUAGUUCAUAUUCGUUUCGAAAUAAAAUGCAAUCGUUAGGACACGCAUGAAUCCUUUCGUAACUCAUUCCAAUAGAACACAAAAUCCGUUUAGCCUCGUAGGUCCGACUGGGAAGUUCAUUAUCAUCUGGCAACAUAUCUUUUAUGAGUGUUAAUAAUUCUGUAAAGCUUUUAUCAGACAAUCCAUUACUCGCUUUUAAGUUGUACAACUUUAAUAUCGCUGACAGUCUUGUGAAUUUAGUACAACCAUUAUAUAAUUCUUUCUCUGCAUCACUCAACAAACUUUCAAACAUUUUAGGACAAUCUCGAAGAUCUUCUUCAACUGCUUUUGCAAUCUCAUCAACUCGGUCCGGCUCAUAUGUAUCUGUAUCGAAAUCAGUUGAAGCAUAUGUAGAACUAUUCUCAAAAUUAAUGUUUCCUUUUUUUUUCUCACCUAAAUGUCCUUCCAAUUCAUCUUCUCUAACGCGUUUUCCAAAACAACAUUUUAAACAAGGACAAACGACUCUAUUUGGAUCUUUUGUAUUCUUCACUGCAAACUCAACAAACUCCUUCACUCCAUUUUCAUACUCUUUUGACAAUCGAUUGGCAGACAUCCAUUUCCGAUCCAUAUUAUAUGAUCACCUAUAUAAAUGCAAUUACAAAAAUAAUAAGCUACUGAACAGAUCAACAAAUUUCAAAAAGAAACCAAUAUCAACAUAUCUAAUAUUGGAAAAUGGAACCCAAGGUCCAUUAUUAUGUAACAAUUUCAAAAUAGAAAAGAUUUCAAAACAGAACAGAUCAACAAAUUUCAAAAAGAAAAGAUUUAAUAUGUAACAAUUUAUUAGUUUUCAAUUAUUAAAAAACUAAAGAUUAUAAGCUACUGGACAAAUCAACAAAUUUCAAAAAGAAACCAAUAUCAACAUAUCUAAUAUUGGAAAAUGGAACCCAAGGUCCAUUAUUAUGUAACAAUUUCAAAACAGAAAAGAUUUCAAAACAGAACAGAUCAACAAAUUUCAAAAAGAAAAGAUUUAAUAUGUAACAAUUUAUUAGUUUUCAAUUAUUAAAAAACUAAAGAUUUUUUGACAACAACAAAUUAAUAAAUACCCGAGACAACGUAGAUGGCCGCACAGUACGUAGAGGAUAUGAGGGUUCCCAGAGUAGAGGUGAUGAGGGUUCGUAAAUUUGUUUUUAUUUAUUUAAAAGUAAAUGAUUUUUAUUUAAAGUGCAUGUCUUUUACAGUGCUUGUGGAAAAAACGCUGUAAUAGGUAAUUUAAUUAUUUGAAAGCGCAUGCCUUUUACAGCGCUUGUGGAAAAAACGCCGUAAAACAUUAUGUGAGGGCGCUUUAGUUUACAACGCUUGCGUACAAGCGCUUUACAGCGCUGUAAAAGCCUUGUAAACAUUAUGCCAAACGCUAUAUGACCCUACAAAAACGCUUUUUUACAGCGUUUGUAAAAAAAACGCUGUUAUAGGCUCCGUUAUUUUUAAAAUAUAUUUACAACAGCGCUUAUAUUUAGUAAGCGCUAUAAAAUGAGCGUUAUAAAAUGAACGCUAUAAAAUGUCAUUUUUGGCGUAGUGUGACUUGCUAUUUUUUUAAAUUAAAUAAUAACAUGUCAGUAAUUUUUUUUUUAAAAAAGAGUGGAAAAUUAUGAAAUUAAAAAUAGAAUAAAUGUGGGGACUAAAAUUAUUUAUUUAAAAUUAAGAGGGAUUAAAUUGCAAAAUUUAAAAAUUUAAAAAUUUAAAAUCGUUCGUUUGGAAUUAAGAGGACAAGAUUGCACAAUUAUUAUUUUUUAAAAUAAUUUAGGGAUUUUAUUUUUGAAGAAAAAGUACGUUUAAGGUUUAAAAAACACUUUUCUUAUGCUUCCCCUCACGAGAGUGAACACCUAUCACAGAUUAUAUGUAGAAAAAACCAAAUCAUAUGUAGGAAUCAAAAGACAACGGUCUUUUCUUUUGAUAGAAAGAAAAUAGAGUAAAGACUAGUAUUAAGUUCAACAAAAAUAAAUUAUUUUAAAUUGAUGAUCAAUGCAGGUGUGCAGUACCUUAAACGAAAAGAUAUGGUCAUCUCAUAUGUGAUUAAUGUCUUUUAACCCAUUUGGUUUUAUUCGAAUCAAUCUAGAUUUUUCAACAAGAAUAUUUGUUUUUUUCAUAGACCGAUCUCUCUAAUUCUUUAAUUGCUUCUAAUAUUCCUUUAUAUGAAAAUUGCAGCAAUCAACACAUAUAUUUAUCUUCUUUUGAGUCUUAUUUGAUGCAUUACUUCUUUAUUGAUGUCCACCUAUCUAAAGCUCCAAAAAUUGUUUAGGUCAUCUGACAGCCUCCUCCUUCCUAUAUGAUUAAGGGAGGAAAAUUCUUGUAUUGACUUGUUGGCUAAUUUUGGUAUUUAUAUUCAGGGAUUUGUCUAGCGGAAUAUUGUUCCUCCUUUUAUGUCGAAUGGGUUUUUUAGAAAUAUGAUUCAUCUUAUAGUUUUAGAUCCUCUUGAUGUGUUUAGGUUUUGGUGGUUCCCCAUGCUUCUUUUAGCAAUUUUUUAUUUAUUUUCUAUUAAUAAUAUUUGACGUUGUAGAUAAUUAUUAAAGUCGGCGGUGUCAACUUAAUUGAGGUCGUUGGCGAUGAUAAUUCCCUCUGCAUCCUUUCUUUGAAAUAAAAGAAAAUUACAACAUGUAACCACAUUGAAGAAUUAUAUACUAUUUUUUCAAUUUUUAUUUAAAAUGUUUGCACAUUAUGAUAAUUUGUUUGUUAAUAUAAAAUAACUUUAUAUUAUUGCAGGAAAAAAUAACUUUAUAAUAAUUUAUAACAAUCAUGUAUCUCAAUUAUUCUAAUUUUUUUUUUGUAUUUUUGUGAGAAAUCUUUAAGAAUAAUAUUUAUGACAACUUAAAUUUUAUCCUUCUAAAUAAUCGGCAUCCUUUUAAGUUUGUUAGUGUAAAAUUGUAAUUCUAAAACCUAACAUUUGCUAUUUAUAAGCCUCAACUAAAUAUUGUUGGAAAAAUAAAUAAAUAUAUAGUAAAAUAAACAACACAAUCUUAACACAAAAAUAUAACGUGAAAACUCUUAAUCUGGAGAAAAAAUCACAAACAUUGUCAAAUUACAACCAAAGUAUACCACUAUAUGAAACUUCUUACAAUACAUAGACUUCUGUCAUUCUUCUCAUGGCUCUCCUUACGCUCACACUCUCUAAAAUAAAUAUUUGAGUUAUAUCUCACAACACUUUAAUACAAGAAUAUAAGAGAAAAUAAAAGAAUUAGAUACAAACUUAAAGUAUUUUUGACCAGUGUAAAUUGUAAUGAAAAACUAGAAUCAUAUAUAUAGCAUCGAGUUCCCUCUUUCUUUACAAUUCCUAACAAUGUUGGACAAUUUCAACAUGUAAUAUUUCAAACAACUCUAACAAAUAUAAAAACAAAAACUAGUUGCUUCAACAUUUACAACAUUGACAAAUCAAUUCAUUCAUAGAUGAAUCGAUUAAUAGACGGUCUAUUUUGGGUGAAUGGUUUCAUUCUCAAAUUAAUCAAUUCAUUUUACUUGAUAUUCUCAAAAUGAAUCGAUUAAUAAAUAAAUUGUUUUUUUGCAAAUUGAUUCAUUUCAAUGAUAUUGAUUCAAUUCAUUUCAAAUCGAAUUGAUUCAUUUUCUUAACUCGCAUUUAACAUGAUUUCUAGACUAUUGUGAAUCAAUUCAUAUGUUAUAAAAUGGCCGGAAAGUGUGCAUGGAUUGACCAAACAAACAUUUAUGCAAUGACAAUGUGUUUAAUGAUUCAAGAUGAAUAUAGUUCAUCUAAGUAAUGUAUGCUAACAUGAAUAUGCAAACACCCUUUAGAGUCAUAAUGGUUUUAAAAAAGAUUGAAACUAAUCAUUUGCGAGAACCUUCACUUUUUUGCCGUAGUAAAAACAUUCUUCAAUAAUAUGUAAGGGGCCUGCUUGCAACCAAAAAAUGUGUUUUAAACUUUUUUGAAAAGUUAAUGAUAAGUUGAAAGAAUAUAAACACAGAUUUAUUUUGGUUCACCACUCAAUUGAUAACCACGUCUAGUUUUUUUAAUUUAAAUGUUUUUCCACUAAAUCAAAUUGAUUUAAUCUUUUCAAAUUUCAAACUUAAUACAGUCAAGCUCUUGAGAAACACAUUUAUGCAAACUUCUAGCUUAGUACAAUAAAGCUUUUUAGUACAAAUUUCCAAGUUUAAUAGUCAAUUUUUGGAAACACCUUCUCAAGUUUUUAUCUUAGUAUAGUCAAGCUCUUGAGGAUAACACUCUUACUCAAUUUUCUAGUUUAAUACAGUCAACCUUUUGAGUACCACUUUCCAAAUUUCUAGCUUAGUACAAUCAAGCUUUUGGAAACAACUUUCUCAAGUUUCUAGCUGAGUACAAUCAAACUCUUGAGAAUAACACUUUACUAAAGUUUCUAUCUUAGUAUAGCCAACUUCUUGUGUACCAUUUUCUAUAUUUCUAGCUUAAUACAAUCAAACUAUUGGAACACAAUUUUCUCAAGUUUCUAACUUAAUAGAAUCAAGCUCUUGAGAAACAAUAGCCACUAUGGGAUCAAAUUACAAAGACAAAGUUACAAUAAAACAACUCUUCUCUAAAAGUUGAUAAUAAGUUUGGAAUUCAAGGUUCCCUUCUCAUUUUAAUUUCUCGCUCUUAAAGUUUUUAUAGUGUGGUGGUUUAGUGAGUUUUUCAAUCUUAUAUGAUGAUUGUUGCAAAUGAACAAGAGCAAAUUUAUAAUUUUUAGAAUAUUGCCAUUGAAGUUUGACAUCCUGUGACCAUUGCUAGUAUCACAUGGAGCAUACUAAGCAUAACUUGUAGGACCUAGUACUAACAUAUAUGGUAGUUACAAGAUUCAAAUGUUAUCCAUUGUCAUUGUCAUUGUUGUUUCUAUGAACUUUGACUUCCUUGUUCAAGACGAAUGGUAAAUUCUAGAUAACUACUCUCUCUUACUGAUUCUUCUGAUCCUUAAUAUUUACCAUAUUAGAAGAAAUGUUGUAUCAAAUGAUUUAUGCUUGAGUCAAUCCUUGAUUGUUCACCAGGGCCACGUAAACAAAAUUUGUGCUACUUUAGAGUUUGAGGGUUUCAUUGAAGUUUAUCUUUAGAGCUGAGCAUACUUAUCACUUGGAGGGUCACCAAAGUAUCUGUGCUCUUAGAGCAAAUGUAAAAGAAUAAAUUAUUAUCUUAUAUAUUUUGUUAUUUACCAACUAAAAUUAAAGAUCAUUAUUCUUCAAAUCAACUUAGUUCUAACUGAUUAAAUGUGCAACCAAUUUGAAGUUUAAUUAUUUUAAGGUUAAAUAUUGGUGGAGAGUAAUUCAUUUCGAGGUUCAAGUUCAAUUAGUUGAAAACUAUUUCACAAUUUGAGGUUAUUGUAUUAUAGAAAAAGAAGGCUUUGGUUUACUUGAUUGUGUAGUUAUUUGCUCAACGAUUUUAUGUAUAGACAUAUCAUCAUUUUGAUUAUUGGAAGAAACUCCUUUUCCGGUUGAUUAUGAAUAAGACGUACACAACUAAUGAGGAUGGUGCAGGGAACAUGUAUAAAAAUCAUUUUCUUUUCUUUAUUCAAUCUCUUUAAAAUCUUUAUUAUAUUUGAUUAAUUGAGAAAAAUCUAAUUCUUGACAUAGUUAAUAAUGUGGAGGAAAAUUAUGUUUUUGUGAAGUUCUUGAGAUAUUGAGGUGUAUAAAAACCAAAAAAUUUCUCUCAUUGUUAUACCAUUUCAGUUUUAGAUACUCUAUCAAUUGUGUUAGCAUUUAUAAUUCUCUUUACUAAAAUGAAAUUGCACAUAAAAAUAUGUUUUUCACUAUUUUGAUAGUUUUAUUUAUUUAUUUAAACACCAUAACUUUUUUAGUUGUACAAACUUCCAAUUGUACAAAUUAUUUUGGUUGAGAAUUACAUCAACAGUUUUACUUUAAUCAAUCUCAAUUUUCUGUGGUAUUGAAAAUUGAACUAGCCAUUAAAAGUUUAAUUGAUUUCACUUUGAAAUUAAACUUCAAUCUCUUGACAUUGCAAUUUACCUUGUGUUGGUGAUUUGCAGCUUGAUCUUAGUCAUUGUUAUCCAAUCUUCCAAUCACAUUAAUAAAAUCUGAAAAGUAGUUUUUAAAGUUUUGAAAAUUAAAUUUAUUCGAUAAAAGCACAUAACUCUAUUUGCCCUCUUUAUAUUUCAAAAGGUACAUAGUCUAACACAACAUAUUGGAAUUCAUUGAGUAAUUGUUCCAUUUCAACUAAAAGAAUAGUUUUAGCAUUUGCUUUGAACAUUAAAAUAAAACUCAUGGCUUAAACUUUAUUUGUAGUUAUCUUGAGUUGUUCAUUUGUAACCAAAAACACUAAUGGCGUGGAUUUCUUUUUUUCAUCAUCGAUUUCAAAUGGUGGUAAUGGAGCUUAAUUUUCUCUCAAUCUUUGACAAAAUGACUAUGUGGUUGUGUAACCGUCAUAUACGGCACAAUAAUAUUUUUUUAUCUCUCAUGUAAAAGGUGAAAUGCAUAAGGAGUGGACAAUAUUUGCGGUCCCAACAGACCCAAGAGGAUAUUUAAUCUUGCAGUCGGGUUUUUUUAUUAUUAUUAUUAUUAUUAUUAUUAUUAUUAUUAUUAUUAUUAUUAUUAUUAUUAUUAUUAUUAUUAUUAUUAUUAUUAUUAUUACUAUUAUUAUUAUUAUUAUUAUUAUUAUUAUUAUUAUUAUUAUACACAUAGAGUCACAGACGCAGUAUAAACAUCACACACAACCCAACUCAAGUUUUUAUUUAUAAAAAAAAUCCAAUUAUUGAAUUGAAAUCCUAGUAGAAAGUAUCUCUUUCAUUUUCAUCUCUCACUCUCAAAUUAGCUACCUCACUCCCUCUCAAACUCUUAUCUUUGUUGCUCAAACAUAGUCACAACCUCCCACCACCGUCGUUGUCACCAUCACCUUCAUCUCACCAAACAUGCAUGAAAAUCCACUUGUAACCUAAGUUUCCUUUGAACUUUUUACCAAACUCUAACCCUCCAAUCUAAUUUUUUUUUUUUAUUCAAUGUUUAUCUUGAAAGAUCGUUCUUUCUUCUCCAACCGCUCAACGAAGAACCUCCUUCUACUGUUUGUUUGAAAGGUUCUCAUCGAAAUUACUCUUUUGUGUUAGGGUUAGCUCUUUUUUCACUAAUAUUUUCUUUAUCAUAUUUCCAAUAUAUUUAGGUAUUAAUAAUAUAGAGGUUAUCCAUAUCUCAUUUCUUUGUAUAAUUUAUUUCUUAUUCCUUUCCACAAGUAUGUGUUAUUUGAUAAUUUUUAAGUAACAUUAUACUGCUUUUGUUCAUGUUUCUUGUAUAAAUGGUGUAAUUUAUUAUAAAGAUUUUUUGCAGUCAAUAGUGCUUUUAUAUGUAGUUUAUAUAGAUUAAGAUUUAUUAGCUUUAGAUUUGUAAUUAUUUACAUAUUGUUUUAUUUUCUAUUUUUGUAGGCUACAGUUUUAUGAUCUUGUAUUUUUUGUUUUAAGGUAUAUGUUCUUGUAUUUUUUGAGUUUAGGUGUCUAGUUUUAUGUCCAUGUUUGAUAGUUAAUUCUUAUUACGGUUUUAAGUAAUCUUUGGGUUAAGGUUUUAAGUAAGUUUAUAGAUUAAGGUAUUAUGACUUCUUAAGGUUGUAAGUUAGGUUUUACUGAGUAUAUGUUAAUGUUUGAUAUGUUUAUUCCUUUUAGUUUUACUUUUUUACUUUCAUGGUUGAAAUGUUUAUUCUUUGUAGUUUUAUAUUAAUGUUUGAUUUGUUUAUUCUUUUUAGUUUAACAUUAAUGUUUAAUCUGUUUAUUCUUUUUCGUUUUACAUUCUUGUUUGCCUCCUUAUAAUUAAAUAUUUCUACAUUGUAGAUUAUGUUGAAUGCUUAGUACUUUUAAAUUUUUUCUGGUUUGAAAUAAUGAAGCAAGGCCAAGAAGGCAAGAGCAUGCAAGGAUCUAAGGAUCUAGAUAAAAAAGAAAAACUAUAAGUUAAACAUAUUAUAAAUACUUUGCGAAUCAAAUUGUUGAAAAUAUAUUGUGUAUGUUAUUUUUAGACUAUAUGAUUUUUUAGAAUAAUUUAACUUGUCUACUAUCUUGUGCAUGCUAAUAAUAUGCUUCAUGUGAUAUGAUAAUUAAGUCUAUUUCAUAUUUAUGAGUUAACUUGUCUAAAGUCUAGUUUGAGUUUACGAGCUGAACAUGAUUCAAUUUGCAUGAAUUUAUAUGAUUUAUUUGUUAGUUGAACCUAUUAUGUUAAUUGUAAGUGACAAAAUGCAUUUUAUAAGAUUAUGAGUUUCAGUUUGUAUGAAGUUGAUUAUGUAAUUUUACGAUAUGCUCAAAUAAUAUGAUUAUGAGCUGAUUUAUUUCAGUUUGUAUGAAUUUUAUAUGAUAACAAGUGACUCAAUUUUUAAACUAACUCACUAGUCAGUUAGUUUCUACUUGAAGCAACUUAUAUAGUCAUAUAAGAGGAGUUCUUUCAUAUAAAAAAUAUUCAAUGAGAUAAAAUUGUAGAUUAAAAAACUGAAUAUUGGAAUAGACUUUUAUUAGGCAAAUAAUAGGAGUUGUUUCAUAAAAUAGGAAUUUCACAUAAAUAUUUAAAUUAGGAACAAUUAAUUAUGAACCUUAAUUAAGACAAUAAUUGAUAAUGAAAACUUAAACAAAUGAAUUCUUUGAUUAAAAAUUGAAUAUCAGAAAACUUAAUUAGAUUUAAACAAAACAGUCUUUAUGUUUUAGUGAUGGAGCAGUCUUCUCCUGAUCUUUCUCCAAAUCAAAUAUCUACUAAUAUUCAAUCCACUCAAGUUAUUAAUCAACCUACAACAUAAGCAGCUACUCUUCCUCCUUCUAGGAAGAAGAGAAAAGACAACGCAGGUGGUUCUUGAAAAACUUCUAAGGUUUGAGAUCAUUUCAACGAAGCAUCUGAUUGUGAUGUUAGAACUGCUGUAUAUAAAUACUUCCAUCAAAAGUAUUUUGUGAUGCCAAGCAACACGGUACUUCAAACAUGAAACAUCACAUGCUAAGAUGUACAAGUUAUCCUUCAAAUGUAGUAACUGACUCUAGCCAAACCAUUUUACAAUUUUCAACAAGUGAGGGAUCUAGUUUCUUUGUUGCAAGCUCUAGAUGUAAUGCCUAAAUAUGUAGAAAGGCUUUGUGUAUUUUUAUCAUUUUGGAUGAGUAACCCGUUAAAGCAAUUGAAGUGGAGGAAUUGAAGUACCUUUGUAAAAAAUUAUAGCCCCAAAUUACCGUUCCAUCAAGGCUUACUAUAGUAAAGGACUUUUUUCAGUUGCAUUUUCAUGAAAAGGUUAGGUUUGAAGGGUUCUUCAGGUUAGAUUUCAGUAGGGUGGUUAUUUCUACCAUCAUAGUUGAUAAUGCAUCAUGAAAUUAUAUUGUAGUAGGAUUGUUGAAGAAAAAGACAAAAAAUCAUGAAUAGACUAUUGUUGAACGUGGCUUUUUUCAUAUUAGAUAUUGUGCACAUAUACUUAAUUUACUGGUGACUGAAGGAUUGAAAGACUUUGACUCUGCAAUUUCUAGAAUUUGAAAUGUUGUGAGGUUUAUAAGAUUUGCACCAAAUAGGAUUGCAAAGUUUAAAGAGUAUAUAUAAUUUGCUGAAACUCCAAGCAAGAAAUUGUUGUGUCUAGAUGUUCAAACAAGGUGGAACUCGACAUACUUAAUAUUUGAAGCAGCUAUAAGACUUCAACUAUCCUUGUCAAGCUUGAAGAGGAGGAUUCAAGCUAUAGGGAACACUUUGGAGAUGGUUCCCCACCCACUAAUGACGAUUGGGAAAAAGGCAAGUGUUUUGUAAGGUUUUUGAAGUAUUUUUAUGAUGCAACAAAAAUAUUUUCAACCUCACAACAAACAAGUUUGCAUAUCUCUUUUCUCCACUUGGAUUCCAUCUAUAUUGAACUUAAGCAUUCAUCCUUGGACCUCAACACUUUUUUUUGCCUCAAUGGCUAAGGAAAUGAUAAAGAAGUACGUCAAAUAUUGGGGCAAUGAAACUAACAUAAAUCGGCUUCUUUACUUUUGCGUUAUUUUAGAUUUCAAUACAAGUUAAGAUAUGUGGAAUGGUGCUUCAGUGAUACUAUCAUGACAAACCACUUUUUGUGGAAAGUUUUUUGAAAUCCAUUAAUUCUAAUCUUACCAAAGUGUACAACUGGUACAAGUAUGCUUUUGAAACAACUGCAACAUCUAGUACUUCAUCUUCGAGUGCUUUUGUUGUUGUUUUCCAUAGUGAAACAACUAAAGUUGGUGACUUUGAUACACACUUAUAAAGGGAAAAUUCUUUUCAUCAAUAUUUGAAGUCAAAAGAUUCAAUUGAUGUUGAAAGUGAGCUUGAAAGAUAUACUAAUGAGAAGUGUAUUGAGUUUGUAGAAAGGGUUUACAUUCUAAUGUUGUAGAAACAAUGCUUGUCGAUAUUCGAUUUUGUCCAAUAUGGUAAGAGACAUCAUGCCUACACCAAUUUCUAUAGUGGCUUCUGAGAGCGUUUUUAGCACGGGGAAAUAUUUAUAAUAUUUAUUUUUGUGCAACAUGUUAAGUAACUGUUUUUUUCAAUGUAUGAUAGAAAUAAAUGAAAAUUCGGCUAGAAGUGGCUCACCUUCCUUCUCUUAGACUCAAUCACAACCUUUAGGUUGGGUUAAAAGUAUUAUAGGUUUAGUUUAUAUUUAUAGCAUUUUUGGAGCCUUGAAGACUCACGAGUACAACCAACCACUAUUAUUUCUUUUUUACAAUAUUUUAGAUUUUGGAAAUGAAGUAUUUUGAAGAUGGAGUAUUUAACUGGGGUUGUUUUAAAAUUGUUAUGUUCAUUACAAGGUUACAGUUCUAUACACUUAAUUGAUAUCCACUUCAACUUAUGUAGAUUGUUAUGUAUGUUAUUAAUCUAUGAUUGGUUUUUAAAUUAUAUAAAGGUGAGACUUGUAGUGUCAUGGUGGGAAAGAACAAGAAACUAUAGUGUCAAAGUUUUUAAAUGAUAUGAAGGUGGAAACUUCAGUGUCUAUGGAUUGUUACAACAAGACACUGUAGUGUGAAGGUGGGCAAGAACAAGAGCAACCAAUAUAUAAUUAAUUUGAAAUUCAAUUAAAUUUCUCUAAAAUGAACUAACUUCAUUCAUGUUAUUAUUUCAUAGAUUUGUUAAUUUAAUAUUUCAUAUUUUUUGCCAAAUUUGUAGGUAGUUGUUUACCGUGGAAAUAUAAUGACAAUUUCAUGUGAAUUGCCAAUAUGAUAAGUAUCCAGUCAACAAAACUAAAACUAAAACUAUGAUGAAAUUGAAAUUGUGUGAGUGAUGAAACUGAAAGUGAAAUUUGGACUGUAAUUUCAAUAUUAAUUUGUAUGUCGUUUAGUUUGGUUGGCUGUGUUGUGACACGAAUUUAUGUAGAAGACUUUAUGUCCUCAAUGCUUUGUUACAUGUGUUGUGACACUAAUUUAUGAGGAAGGCUUUAUUCUCUCAGUGCCUGAAAACUAAACUAUCAUUAUGAUUAUCUUUGGUAAUUUUAAUGUGCUUUAGAAAGUAUUAUAAUUAUCCUUUUGCAAGUUAUUUGUGACUUGUAAUAGUUAGGCCAUAAGUACUACCAACUAUUUUGUAAUAGUUAGGCCCAGAAAAAUUUAAUAGUUAGACUCAUAAAAAUUUAACUAAAUGGGUGACAUUAAUGAAUUCAUGUUUUUUAAAAUUUGUUUAAAAAAAAUCCAUUUUUAGUAACUUUUUCAUGAAAAACGAUAAAAAAAAUACAAUAGCACCUUCGUUGGGCCACCUGGUUAAUCCGACCCAUCAACCCGUCUAACCAACACCCAACUCAAACCGCUAUAAAAAGGUCGAAUUGUGGGUCUACAAGUGUCACCCGUGGAUUGGUCCGUAUGUGGGGUUUAUGCUUGAACCUGCCCGUUUGUCCACCCUUAACUUGCAUACAUAAGAAUAAUAUCACACCAUACUUUAUCUUGAUACUUUGCACCAAUAGAAAAACUCACUAGACAAUGUUUCAUGACUUUAACUUCACUACCUUUGUUGAGCCACUGUAAUUUGUAUCGAUGUGAAAGAUUUUGGGCUUGUAGCUCCAAUUUAUACACCAUGUAAUUAGUAACCACAUUCUCUCAACAUACAUGUCAAUUGUAACCUCACAAACCAUUCCUAAAGCAGUGCAUCAGUGAUGAGAACCUAUGAAUGACACUUGAAAUCAAUCUUAAAAAAAUAAAGAAGGAUCCAACCCAUAUUUUAUCUAAUUUAUUUUUUCUUGAAUAUGUUUUAAUGUGUGUAAUGGGUUUGCACACAUGUUUGUUGAAACAAAAAUAUUUUUCUUUGAGAAUUAUGAGUAAGAUCUUCUCUUCUUUGAGUUCUUGGAUUGAAACUUGUUUGAAUCUUAUCAAUGGUUUCCUUACCAAUAUGGCGAUUGAUCUUAGCUUAUCAAUCAUAUUGAUUGCAGUGCCUUCUUUCUCUAUCUCUUAAUCAAUUCCAUCUUUUUGUUUAUUUAUUUUCAUUUUUUUACCGCAUCAAUUGUUUAUCCUUUGUUUUUAUUUUACUUUAUUUUUUUACUUAACAUUUUAAUGUGAUUCUCGGUUUUGAUUCAGAUUUCAAUUGCCUUGGAUACGAAAAAUAUUUGCUUCACUUCCUUUUGAAUGUGAUUAAAGGGAAUUGAUUUUUUUUAUUUGUCUUGGUCCAUUUGCUUUGGCCUUCAAACAUCCUAAUUCUCUUACAAUAAUAACUCAUGGUACUCACUCUUAUUUAUUCGGGUGUUGAAAAUAUUGUGUCUUAACUACAAUUUUUCUUUUAUUAUCAUUGUGAGUAGGCUUCUUACGUGUAUUUGGUUCGGGGUAGAUGGAGAUGUGGGGAUAUAAUAUUUUAAAUUAUGUGUUUUGUUUAACUUUUUAGGAGGGGAGGUGAGCAAAAUUCAUCCUUAAGUGAUUUCGUUAUCUUCUUUAAAACCAUUUAAAAUAUCUCCCAUGUUUUUAAACCAAACACAAAACCAUUAAAAAUACAUAAUCUUCCCUCCCCUCUCUACUUCCUUUUGUACAAAACAUGUCUUUAUUUUUCAUCUCUCCCCUCCAUCCAUUAAAAUAUCUCUCAUCUCCUCUCCUAUGCUAAACGAAACAGACUCUUAAUGAUUCACCACAAUGAGUUCUUCAAUAUAAAUGGCCCUACCACUUCUUCUUCAAACUAACUUUGAGAUUUAUAUGCUUCUCCUUUGAUUAUGAUAAUGGUUCUUUGAGUUUGACAAUUUGAUGCUAUGUCCAAUUCUGUUAUAUUUAAAGUGUUUGUGUUCCCUAGGAUGGUUCUCUUUUAUGGAUUUACAAUGAGGUUUACUUAAGGCACUAGUUUGAUCACCUGAUAUUUUGCAUGUAUAUGGAGAAUUUUUUUAAUGGUGGAAAAAAUUCUAUAAGCAAGCAUUUUGGGUGAAUCUUUCUCCAUUUAGAUGGCUAGAUGAGUAAUAUUGUCCAAUGACCAAUAUUAUUGGAGCUAAUUAGAUUGAGACAUAUAUGAGUUUAAUCUUCCAGGGUAACGAGUUAUUGUCUACUUCUCCCUUUCAUGGAUGUCACACUUCAUCAUCAACUUAUCAAAUUCUCUAGUGUAUUCUUCGACUGUUGAAUAUUUAUAGUGAGAAGGCAAGAACUUCCUGGUUAGUUUUCGACGUAUUUUCUUCCAAGUUUUUUAUCUUGCUUUUUCUUUUGUGCGUUCUCUUCUUUAUAAGGCUCUCCCCACAAAUGGGAGUAUAUCUUUUUAACUUGAUAACAAUGAUAUUUACCUUCUCAUGUGCUAUCUCUUUGUAUUCAAAUAUUAUUUCAAUAGUUUGUAACCAAUCGUCAAAUUUAUCAUGUUGGAGUUUUCCUUCAAAUUGAGAAAUGUCUCAUCAUUUUUGAAUUUUUGUAUUAGAAAAUGAUGACUUCGAAAUGAUGAUGAAACACCAUUAGAUUCAUCAUUGUUUGAUUGAAUUUGUUUGGCUUCCAACAUGUCAAAAAUUUAUAGUCAAUGAAGGAAAAAACAAUAUCAAAACCAUAUAAUGUAUUCCGAAAUAACUAGAAGUUCUUGUCUUCUCACUAUUAUAAAGAUAAUUUCAUCCAAAUAUAAAAUCUUCAAGAUAAAAACUUAUCUAUAGAAUAAUACACCGAGAAUUUGAGAGGUUGAUGAUGAGUUGUGAUAUCCACAAAAGGGAGGUACAACCAAAUCUUGCCUCAUUUCACUAUAAGAAAAUUGAUUAUUUGUGGUGGCCAAAGGCCACACAAAGUUUAUGGCAGCCUAAACAGUCACAAAUUUGUGGCAGACAAAAUCAUCACAAAUUUGUUUUGUAACAAAAUUUGUGGUUGCCUAAGCUGUCACAAAACCCAACAAAAUAUUGUGGCAACAAAAGCUCUCAUAAACUACUCACAAAGUUUGUGAGGGAUUUUUCGGUCGGUAACAUAUUUGAGUUUUAUUAUUUGUGAUAUUUUUUUAGCCACAAAUCUUUUUUAAGUUGACCACAAAUCAAGAGUUUUCAGUAAAAGAUUAUAUUAGAGAAUUUAAAAGUUGAGCCCAAUGGACCAACCUGUCCCAUCCCGAAUUAGUAAUUUGAGAGUUUGAAGAGAAAUGAUCAAAAGAGCUAUGGAAACUUGAAAUUGAAGAAAGUUUCCAAUAAAUCAUUUUGAUAAAAGAUAAAAAAUGAUACAAUGAUACUCUUAUUUAUAGUGGUUAGUGAACACUACCAUUCUAACUAUUUUCUCUAAAUAACUCUAUUUGUAACUAAUUACUCUAAUUAACUCUAACUGUAAUAGACUAUUGAAAUUCUUAACCCUCCCGCUCAAACUCAGAAUUGAGAAAUUUAUUAAUCUGAGUUUGAAUUUUAAUUGUUAUGAACAUUUAACAUGUUGAACAAUGCAAUCUAAAAAUGUAAUGAACACCUAUUUGCAAGAAACCUAAUUAAUCACCAAACUGUUUGCGGCCACUGUUCCUAAUAUGUAUUGGAUUUUCUUGCAAUCGAGAAAAGAAUGUUAGCUUUUGUACCCCCCAAUUAAACUUGUACCUCCCAAUUUGUUAAAAAUCCAAUUUUAUCCUUAAUAUAUUCAUUCACGUGAGUGGUAAAAAAAAAAUUACUCCAAAAUCUCACCCUCUCACUGAAAUUUCCGGUAGGUUUAAUUUUGGCAACUAAAUUUCCGGUAGUUAUUUGUAAUGCUGGAAAUUUGGUCAAAGAAAUUUCCGGUAGUUAUAUUUUCAAUACCGGAUUUUUGAAAAUUCCGGAAGCUACCGGAAAUUUCAAAUUUUUGAAAAAUCCGGUAGUUAUGUUUUCUUCACCGGAAAUUUCAUUUUUGAAAUUUCCGGUAGUUAAUCUGGAAAUUUCAAAAAUCCGGUAGUUAAUAAAUUUAAUUUUUAUUUAUUUUUUAAUUUUUUUUUUUGAAAUAGAGAUGGAAAACACACAACCAAUAUUUAUAUAUUUAACCGAAGCAUUUAGAACUGAUCAAAUUUUUGAGUCACGAGAAGUUGUCAUAUCAUGGGCAAGAGAGAUCGGCCGACAAAAUUGAGUAGCAGUUAUCGUUACUCGAUCAGACGUAGAGACUGGAAAGAGAUGAAGAAAUUCAAAAUUAAUUCUUGGUUGUGAUAGAGGUCGACAAUAUAAGUCAAAUAAAAAUAACACAGGUACUUCAACUAAAAGGUGUGGAUGUCCGUUUAAACUUAGAUCGAGACCAUUGAAAAAUGCUGAAGGAUGGAUUAUUAGUUUAAUCUGUGGACUUCACAACCAUGAGAUAAUAGCUAGUUUUGAGAAUAAUGCAUUUAUGAGACGCUUAACAGAAGAAGAUAAGAAACAUGUUGACGAGUUGACAAAAUAUCACGUUGCACCGAGACACAUCUUGUCAUCUUUGAGAGAUCGAGAUACAGAGAAUGUGACUAAUAUCUAUCAAAUUUACAAGCGACGAAGUACAUACAGGAAGAAUUUAAAAGGACCUAGAACUGAUAUGCAACAUUUGUUGAAGUUACUUGAAACUAAGAAAUAUACUUGUUGGAGUAGGACUCAUGAGGACUCCAACGUUGUGAGGGAUAUGUUUUGGACGCACCCAGAUUCCAUAACUUUGUUGAACAUGUUCCCUCUUGUAUUGAUCAUGGAUAACACCUACAAAACCAACAAGUAUAGGUUACCAUUGUUUGAAAUUGUUGGUGUAACUUCAAUUGGGUUGUUGCAUUUGCUUAUAUGGAUUCUAGACGUCAAGACAACUUUUGGUGGGCAUUGGAGAAGUUAAAAGAUUCGUUUGUUUCAAACACGUCAUUUCGUCAAGUGAUUGUGACUGACAGAGAACUUGCUUUAAUGAAUGCAAUUGAAUUUGUAUUUCCAUCUUCAACAAAUUUACUUUGUCAGCUUCAUAUUAACAAAAAUGUUGGAGCCAAAUGCAAAUAAUAUAUAUUAAAGAAAGACAUGCAAGAACCCAUUCUUGAGUUGUGGAGGAAAAUUGUUUAUUGUUCUGAAGAGAAGGAGUACGAUGAACUUUUGCAAAUGUUUGAGCAAGCAUGUGUCGAUAAUAUUAUUUUCUUUGACUACGUCAGAGACACAUGGUUGAAUCCGCAUAAGGAAAGAUUUGUUGAAGCAUGGACCAAUCGAAUAUUGCAUCUAGGAAAUACUACGACUAAUAGGUAUGUCAUUAAAACUUCACAUUUUGUAUUUUAUUUUAUGCACGAUAUAUGAUUAAAACUUCACAUUUUGUAUUUUUUUUGUUUAAAUAUUAGGGUUGAGUCUGCUAAUUGGUCAUUGGUUAAAUAUUAGAGAUUUUUGGAACACAGUAAAUGAGAUUUUUGUAAGGCAUGGAAUGGUAUGAAUGACAUGUUGAAGUUUCAAAUUAUUAAGAUCAAAGGUUCAUUUGAGAUAAGUAAAGGUCGCAAAGAGCAUAUACACAACAAUCCAUUCUUUGAGAAAUUGACUUGGGUGGUAUCCAAGAAAGCCUUAGGUGAUAUUUUUGAAGAAUACAAGAGAGUCAGUUAUGUCGGUAACGACAAAGAUGUGUGUUGUUGUAUACUUAGAAAGACUCAUGGAUUACCUUGUGCAUGUGAGUUGGCACGAUACAAGCUGGAAGGUGUUCCAAUCCCAUUAGAUGUUGUUCAUAUACAUUGGAGGAAAUUAAUCAUGAAUAGUGAUCAAGAGGAAGAACAAUUGACAAAUGAUUCAGAGUUGGACAUUACAUCGGAGAUGAAUAUAAUUUGGAAAACAUGGAAAACACUUAAUGUUGCUGGAAGAAGGGCAUUAAAGAGCAAGUUGCGUGAAAUAGCAUAUCCGGAGACAACAUCAAUGUGUGCACCAGUGGAUAAAAUCAAAACAAAAGGUGGUGUUAAGAAGAAAAAAAGCAAUAAGCCGAAGGGAUAUGACGCAUAUCGCGACCCAUCAUACUUUGAGCAUGUUGAUACUCAAGUCUCCCAGCAAGCAUCCAAACAAGUCUCCCAUCAGGUUAAAAAAUAUUUCCACGAGUUUCCUCCUUUAAUUCAUCCAUAUAUUGAAGACAUAGUUAAUGUUAAAGCAGAUGGAAACUGUGGAUAUCGUGCUAUUGGUGUUUUACUUGGUCAUGGUGAAGAAUAUUGGAGCAUUGUACAUCGACAGUUGUAUACAGAGAUUAAGUCCAAACCUGAUUUAUAUGAUGCAAUAUUCAAGGAACGUUUGCAAGAAGUGACAGAGUCUUUACUUGUAACUGAGUUGGAAAACCAAGUCAACGAGAAGUGGAUGACCAUUCCUGAUAUGGGUUAUGUGAUAGCAACAAAAUAUAAUCUCGUUCUUGUUACAUUAGCAAAAACUUUUUGUUUGACUUUUUUCCCAUUGAGGGGUGCACAUAAUGGAGAUUUGUCACAUGAUCGUGUUAUCAGCAUUGGUUUUGUUAACGAAAAUCAUUGGGUCCAAGUUAAAUUGAAAUCUGCAUGUCCGUUACCUCCACUUGCAUGGCAUUGGAAGAAGCAUUGUAGUAAUGAGUCUACAUCAUGGGCUAUCGCUUAUGCAGGACGUCUACAACAUUGAGGUUCUUUAGAUUUAGAAAAUAAUUCAGAUUAUAUGUCUUUGACAGAUGAUUGACACUUUUGAUUUGUAUGUUGCUUUAAAUGAUAGGAUUGACACUUUAAAUAUUGUUUUCAAUUUAGAUGAUUGCCACUUUUGUUCUAUGAUGCUUUAAAUGUUGUUUUCAAUUCAGAUGAUUUAAAUGUUGUUUUCAAUUUAGAUGAUUGCCAAUUUUGUUUUCAAUUAAGUGUUCUAUGAUGCUUUAAAUGAUAUGAUUGACACUUUAAAUGGUAUGUUUGAAAUAUUAAAUACAACUAAUACAACUAAAUAAGUCGCGAAUAAUAACUCUGAAUAAUAAAUAAAUCGCGAAUAAUAAAAUAAGUCUGAAUAAUAAAUAAGUUACGAAUAAUACAACAAAAUAAGUCACUAAUUAAAUAAGUCUGAAUAAUAAAUAAGUCACGAAUAGUAAAAUAAGUAUGAAUAAUACAACUAUAAUGCUACUGAUAAUCUCCUCCUCUAGAAAAUGUGUAAAGCUCUCUCUAAUAAGACACGCAUCUGAUCUUCAGGACCACCCAUAUGUAAGUCUAAACUCUGUUGUAUAAGACCACCAAUUGCGUGACACCGUGUACACCUAGUAUCAGGACCAACAUCAUGACUAUGACCAGCAUCAGGACCAGGACCAACAUCAACAUCAUAACUAGGACCAGCAUAUGCAGCAACAUAAGGGAUCAGCCGAGGAUAUGCAGCUGGGUGGAAUUUAGCUCGAAGUGAUCGUACAGAGUUCCGGUACAUACUCCAUUCAACGUCAACAUCACGUACAACAAGCAUCGGUGGUGUAGGAGGAAUGUGUUGAGUAUACCUAAACUGUCGUAUGCACCUCUCUGGUAAAUACGGAACCAUCAUGGAACACCAACGAAUGUAUCUUGUAAACAAUGACACAGAUUGAAAUCGUGUCAUAGAGUUCUCGUCGUAAUUCGGCGUCCGGAUAAUAUCAGUAUCCCUCAAAGCAUCCAACUUUGCAAUGUAAUAUGCAACGUUCCCAGAUGUUUGUUUUGCAGUCCAACGAAACAUCUGUGGCAUCGAGGAGAUAAGCUCAUCCAUGUCCCGUUUACAAAUAUCAGGAAAAUGUUCAUAAAUCCAAGUAUAUAAAUAAUUAAAAUAUAGUAAAAUUAUUAAGGUGAUCAAAUAAUUAAAAAUAAUAAUAAGUAUAAUAAAUAUAAUAGUACUUGAAAUAAAAAUAAAUAUCCUCCAAUCUGUUUGGUUGCAGGCAAUGUAUUAUCUCUAAGAUAGUCAUAUAACACAACAAGUGCAACUGGUCCCCAUGCCCAUUUACCACAAGUUUCAAGGUCUUGAAACAAAAAUAGAUAUUUUAUAGAUACAAGGGUAAAACUUUUAUCAACUAGAAUGGUACACCCUACCUAAUGAAGUAGGUAUGUCCUCGUUGCACAGUCGUAUCGUCCUUCAUGAAGUUUCUUGAAAAAUACCUCUUUCAACCACUCAAAACUAUACGAGGCACCUCUAUUGGUCCUAGUUUCAAUGACAGCUUCAUCAUAUGCAACUCCCAACAACUCAACAGCAGCAACAAUUGCCAAAUCUUCAUUGACAUUUGCAGGAGGUGUGAAAAACUCUCCAGAACAUGGGAUGCUCAAAAGACCCCUAACGUCGUCAAGAGUAAUAGUCAUUUCACCGAAUGGCAGGUGAAAUGAACUACAUCUUCUUAGAGGACGUAACCCAGAUAUAGUAAUCCAAUGAUCUAUUUGAGCAGGUAAUCGAUAUCUGAUAUCAAUGAAUUUGUCUUGUUUUUUGCCAUUUGAAACAACUUUCAAGGCACGUCUAUCCUGUUUAAUUAAAAAUAACACACAAUUACAAAUAUAUUAUAAUAUGUAAUAUAAUAAUCUAUACUACAAAUAUAUUAUAAUAUGUAAUAAAAAAAAUUAUUUACUAUCCUGUCCAUUCUACACAUUAAUUGCAAUAUGGUGCUCAUAAUCUUUAAGGAUAGAAAGAUCAUAAGGACCUCCAAGAAACAUGAGUUCUUCAGGCUGGUGCUACUGACCAUGUUCAUCAUCAAACUGUUGUUGUUGCUGAUCAUGUUCAUCAUCAAACACAUGAUCUUGCUGCGGCUGGUCAUCCCGUUCUUCAUCAAACACAUGAUUUUGCUGGGGCUGCUCAUCCUGGGGCGUCUGCCUUUCUUCAUUUCUCUUUCUUCUUUUUUCAACAGCAGCUCUCCUAUUCGAUUGUGUAGGAGGUCGAACUCGAGAAUGAUCAACGUCAGUUUUUGCUCCUUUGGUCCUCACUAACAAAAUUCAAAAAAGAAAUUAAAAAAAUUAUAUAAAACAAAAAAAAAUAAAAAAGUAUACACUGUAAUGGAAAUUUCAAAGAGGAAUGAAAUUUCCGGUGAACAUAUCGGAAAUUUCAUUUUUGAAAUUUCAUUUUUGAAAUUUCCGAUAUGCAUUUAUAACUACCAGAAAUUUCAUUCCUCUUGAAAUUUCCGGUAAAUUUUUUUUCCCUCAAUACUCACUUUUCUGGAUUUUUCAAUGUGGGGGUACAACUGUUUUGAUUUUUCGUUUUUUUUUUAAUUUUAUUUUUACUAAUUUUCUUAAGGUUAUUUUGGGUAUUUCAAUAAAAAAAUUUAAUUGGAGGGUACAAGUUUAAUUGGGGGGUAAGAAAGCCAACAGUCUCGAAAAAUAGCCAACUUUCCAAAUGUUGUGGUUAUCAUAAGUCAACCCAACAAAAUGAAAGGCAACCGUGUAAUGCAAGAAAAUAAAAAGCCUUCAGAACUCUCGAAACAGUAAGCAAAGCAAACACACAAUGCAAAAGUAGAAUUGUGAAAACGGGCUACCAGACUCAUAUAAGGUCGGCUCUAACGAGUUGUGAGUUUUUUCGAAUCGGAUAAAAAAUAUCUGUUUUAAUAUGGAUUGAUAAAAUACUAUUUAAAUUCGGUCGUAGACAGGUUGUGGACUCGGCAGGUAAUCCAUACAUUUUUUAUAAUAUUUUUUUUUUGACUCAUCAUAUUUUUAAUUUUUUUCGAUUAUUUUAAUUUGAAUUUUUUUUUAUGCCCAUUUAAAGAAAUUAUAGUAUACUACUUAUGCAUUAAGUAUGACUUAAUUUGAAUCCCCAUUUAAAAAAAAUGUGGUAUACUACUUAUGCAUUAAGUUUGAAUUUUCCAAUUAACACAAACUCAAUUCAAAUUUUUUAAAACAACAUAUUAUCCAAACAACAUACAAAUUAAAUCUUGAGUAAUAUUCACAUUUUUUAAAGUGUUUGAUGAUUAUCUACCUAAAAAAAUAAAAAAUAAAUUAAUUGUUAAAAAUAUAUAAUCAACUAAAUACAAAAGAUAAUAUAUAUAUAUAUAACCAUGUAAAUGAAUUACUUUUACUAUAUUUUUUUUAAUUAGUUAUGCAAGUUGCGGGUUUUCUGAUAUUCAUACGGGUUAAUCCAAAUAGAUAACGAAUUUAUUUGAAUUAAUCUAAAAAGCAUUCAGAAAAUGCAUGCUUAAUUUAUUAGACUCAAACCCUAAGUUUUAGAGGACUACCUCAUUGACGUUAAACUAUGGUGAUUUUCUCUAAGAUCGAAAUUGGAGAAACACAUACAUAGUGAUGAGUCAAACACAGUGUUCAGUAACCAAGAUCUGUUGAACAUGCUCUCCGACGAACCAAGGCGGGGUUGGCAGAGGCAUGUUAGCAGAUGUGUGGCAUGCUAAAGUCAAUACCGUGGAAAUCACACUAGGAUCCAUACCAGAAUAUCAAAGAUCUAAAAUUGCAAAAUGACUCGAUUGAAAAAGAGAUAGCAGGGGUGGAAACAACGAUGGCAGCACAUUGUUUAUCGAUUCUGGAAACCACAUGUUCAUAAUGCUUCAAUCAAUUUGAUACUUGAUUUUUCGGAUCUUCUAAGGCCACAGUGAAAAUGACAGACUAAAUAAGUAGGCCGAAAGGGUUCGACCCAAUUAGAUCCAUUAAUUUGCAAUACACAUUAAAUAUUAGUAUUAGGCACAAGUUAUUUUCAUUAUGUGAAGCAACACAUGUGAUCGGUAUAAUCAUCCACAGCCAUUAAACUCAUCCUAUUAUAAAUAUAUUAAUAAUAUAGGUUUAAAUACGGUCCCCCUAUUUUAUUCAAUAUGCAAUUUUGAUCAAUUUAUUUUUUAUCCAUAAUUUUAGUUUUUUUAUUUUUAAAAUUAUGAUAUUUUGUCCAACUCUUAUCUUGGCUCUUGAAUUUGAUGAUGUGGUAAUUAAUAAGGUUGAUGUGUAAUUCAUAUCGUAUUUAAUUUGCAAUUUUAUUAAUUAGUAAAUAGGUAAUACCAUUAUAAUACUUUUAUAGUUUUUAAAAUUAAAGCAAAACACUUAGAAACAUAAAGAAAAGAAAACUAAAAUAUGUUAAACCAAAUUUAUGAACUCUAAAAUAGAAACAUAAACAAAGUAGAAACACAAAAGCAAAAAAAGAAGAAAAAGAACCAAGUCACAAAAUUGAAUAACAAGAACGACAUUGAACGAGCCUUAAUUGUGAAGUCCAUUAGAAUCGUCUCUUUCUCGCGAUCAUUGUCAUCUCAUUCUCGUUCUAAUGUGUUCUUUGUAAUGGAUUCAAGGAAAAAAAGGACGGAGAUUGUGAAACUCAGUUGUGAUGGAACUCCAAGAUAUCCGUAUGAUUCAAUACUUUCUUCAUGGACAAAAGAGGAUGAAUAAUAUAUUUUCAAGUAUGUGAUUUUGGUAGUUUCUCAUGUGUGUUCGUAUUGUUGCUAUCAAAUACUGUUAGUUUUGAAUGAGUUUUAGGGUUUUCGUGAAUGGUUUAGUGUUUUAUAGGAUAACAUUUGUUUAUUCAUUGUAUUCUAAAGUUUGUUUUGAAUCAAGUUCUGAUUUAUGUGGUUAUUUUGUUUAAGGUUUAUUUGUGAUUUUGUUUAAUCAAGUUAUGACUUUUAUAGGCCAUCAACAGUUCAAAUUGUUAGAGUACGAAUGUACCAUGGCGACAUGUUUGUAAAUAAUCCUUGCAAAUUAUAUGUUCAAGGUCAAGUUGAUGAAAUGAAUUGGGAUUGGGAUAUAGACCACAUGUUGCAUAUGGAUAUAAGAAGAAUUUCGAUAUUUAUGGUAUAGGAACCCAAAAUUUUCACUUACUCGUAGAUUGAGGCCUUUUAACUCAUAUGAUAAUGUUAUCCAAUUUAUUGAAGAUGUGAAAGGUAAUGAACUUGUGGAAGUUUAUAUGGAGCACCUUAUUGAUACUCCAAUUAUAGUUGUGAAUGACAAAAAUAAGAAUAGACAAAGUGUCAAGGAGGAAAUAUUUAUUGAUGUUGAUGAAUACAAGCUUGAGGGUGAUGGUGGUUGUGAAUGUGAUAAUGAACUAGAAGUUGAAGUUGAAAGUGAAGAUGAACUUGAAGAAGCCAAACCUGAAAUUCAAGAUGAACAUGAAUUUGAAAAUGAAGUGGGUAGUGAAGAUAAUGACUAUGUUUGGAGUAGUGAAGAUAAUGUUAGGAAAGAUAAUAAGAGUUUUGAUAAAAUGGAAGAAGAUAUGAAUUGGAUUAUUGUACUUCUCUCUCAACCCGAUGUAGGAACUUCACUCAAUGUGUAUUCCAAAAAGAAAGAUGAUUUUGAUGAGAAUGAGGAUUCUGAUCAAAUAGAAACACCUUUAUGGAGUGAUGAAAAUGAGGACUCAAGGCCAAAGUUCCCAAACUUUAAGAUGUCAGUAGGUAAUGAUUUUGUUCGAUUUGAGUUGGGGAUGAAGUUUAACACAAAGUCCAGUAUGAAAGAGGUUAUAAAACAAUAUGAUGUGGAAGAAAAAUAUACUUUAAGAAAAAUGAUAAAAAGAGGAUGAUUGUAAAUUGCAUGAAGGAGUAUCAUUUUCAUAUGAGGUUUAGUAAGAUAACUGGAAGUCAAAAUGGGUAGGUUUCAAGUUUCAUUGAUGAACAUACAUGUCAUACGACACCUAGAAAUAGGUAAGCCAAAACUGAGUGGCUAGCAAAGACGUUCAUGCCCACCCUUAGAUAUACAAUUGACAUGAAAACAAAAGGUUUAAUUGCUGAGGGGCUUGAAAGAUGGAGUGUUAAAUUGACACAUGACCAAGCAUACAAGGCCAAAAGAAGAGCCAUUUAGUGAACAAUACUCACUUUUGAGAAGCUAUGCAAAGGAACUAUUGGAGUCAAAUCCAAAUAAUACAAUAACUAUCAAAUGUGCUACGAGUGAUAAUUUUCUUGUAUUUGAGAAAAUUUAUGUUUGCAUUUGCUAUGUAAAUUGGAAGAAGAAAAAGUAGAGAUGAAAGAAGUAUUGUGGUUGGCAGCUAGGGCAACAACAGUUCCAGCAUGGCAAAGAGCAAUGAACAUAAUGAAAAACAUGAAGGAGGCUGCUUGGAAAGAGAUGAUGAAACUUCCUCCUAGAACAUGGACUAGGUCUGCAUUUUCCACUAAUACACAAUGUGACCUACAAGUUAACAAUAUGUGUGAGGCAUUCAAUAAGGAAAUAUUGGAGCAUAUAGACCAACCAAUAAUAACAUUGCAUUCAGGGUUUAAGGCACUAUAUUUCAGAUAGGAUUAUCAGCUAUCGAGAACAUAUGUCCAAAUAUAAGGGCGACAUAUGUCCUAAGAUACAAUAGUUGCUGGAAAAGGAAAAUAGGGUUGCUGAAGGCAGGAGUCCAUGUUGGAUGGAUGACGAUCCUCAGGAAAUGUUUGAAGUGUCCAAUGAAUCUGAGACAUAUAAGGUCAACUUAGGCGCUAAGACAUGUGCACGUAGGAAGUGGGACUUAACAGGUAUACCAUGUUGCCAUAACAUUGCUUGCAUGUGGCAUAACCAUGUUGCCCCAGAGGAUUUAGUUUCAUCAUAUUGCAGGUAAUAUGAUGGUUCGAUAGUUUUAUUUUAUCUGUUAAUUAAAUAUGAUAAACCACAUUCUGGAUAUAGUUUUAAAGAUUCAGGAAAAAAAAUUUAUGUCUACAUAUGGAUACACAAUGAAACCAAUAAUGGUCAUACUAUGUGGCCUAUAUCAAAGAGUGAACCAAUAAAUCCCCCUGUAAUGAGGAGAGCACAAAGCAGACCCAAGAAACAGAGAAAUAAGAGUAAUGAUGAACCCAAAAGGUCAAACAUACUACCAAAACCACUUCCAACUAUGAAAUGCAAAAAGUGUAGCAAGCUUGGGACAACAAAAGGACAUGCAAAGAUAAAAUUGCUGUUGAUCGUGAAAUUUCAAACAAUGGAAAUGAGGUAAAACCGCUACUGCUCAAUAAUUGAUGGUGAUAUUCUUAUCUAAUAUUAGUUGAUGCACUACUAAACCGCUAGUUGUUUAGUAAUUGAUGUUGUAUUUAUGUAGAGGACAAAGAUAAAAAGGACAGAAAAAGGUCAAGGUGCACAAGUAGGUCUACAACAAGGAUCACAAUCAUCACAAGUUGUAUUAACUCAUAGAUCACAAGCACGAAGCCAACAUAUUUAGGAUCAAAUGGCCUUAUAUAUGGCUUUAAUGAUGUAAUUUUUUGUUUAAGCAUAAUAUGUAAUGCACAGUGCCACUGACUUAUAAUGUGUAAUUGCACUAUUAUUUUGUUUGGUUCUCUAAUUUUAAAAUGGUCCUAUUAUUUUGUAUGACGACUAAAUUGACACUCUUAUACUGUAUGACUUGGUUUGUAUACAUUAUUAGUUUAAUUGUUGGUUUAAUACCAAACUUGUUUAAUUUGUGUUUAUUCUAGUUUUAUUUAUUUAUUUUUUGUUUUAACUUGGUUGUGGUAUUGGUACUGGUUUAAUUGAGACUAAUUUCUAUAGGAACUGGUUUGGAACUAGUUUAAUUGAGUCUGGUUUGGGACUAAUUAUAUUGGGAUUGGUUUGGAACUGAUUUAAUUGGGACUAGUUUAUAUUGAGACUAGUUUGGGACUGGUUUAAGACUGAUUUAAUUGAGACUGGUUUGAGAUUGAUUUAAUUGGGAUUGGUUUACAUUGAGACUGAUUAGUGUCUGUUAUUUGGAAAUGGUAUAGAAGAGUAUCUUUGACAACAAUUAACACAAAAUAACAAGCAAAAGGAAAUGACAACAUGCACCCAAUUUGACACACUAUUUGGAAGCACACACACAACUUGACAAGUCAACAGACUAAUUUGACACAUUAUUUUUUCUGUAUUAUUGGAACUUGUUUCAUUAUAGCAAUUAGUACAAUUAGAACAUCUAACACAAUUAUAACAUUUCAUUAAAAAGACAAUCAUUUGAUUAUAUGAACAUAGGCAUUACAUCUUCACACAAUUACAACAUCUUGACAAAAAUAACAAACUAUACAUGAACCUAAACAACAACCUAAACAAACACCAUAUUUCAAAACAUGUGUUGCAGCUAAUGAAAACACAAGUAUUACAACAAACACCUAAGAAAAACAGAGAAAACACAUAAUUUUAAUUUUCUGCUUUAUAAUUUUAAUCUUCUUCUUCAACCCAUCUUCAUAUAUCAUUGAGUCAUUCAUAAACUUCAUCAACUCUUCAUUUUUUUCCUUUAAAGAUAUUAUAACCUCCUUAGCACGAUUGAUCAUAUCUUCAUCAAGUCAAUAAAAAAGUUGCACACUUUUGUCCCUUUUAUCUACAACAAACAAAGCAGAAAAUGGAUUAGUGAAAAUUCCAUUAACACCCAAAAAUUAAUGAAAUCCAUAAAUUCUAUUCCAAUAACAAUCCCAGAAUUUAGGGAUUAAAUGUUUAAAUUCCAUUCGAAGAACAAUCUCUAAAUCCCAGAAACCCUAAAACAAUCCCUAAACCCAUAAUUGAAAAUUCCCAAACUCAAAACCCAUAACUUAAAAGAUAUUGAUUUUUUGUAACUAUAGUAAUUAAAUUUAUGUCAUGAAUAUUUUUAUAUUUUUAAUAUAAAUUGGGUAAAUAGUCAUACGGUUCAACUAGUGACCCACUAAUUCGACCAUCAAUCUAUUGACAAUUUUAACUGGGUCAAUCACCGAUUUGAGUUUUAAAAUUAUGUCCAUAGUUAUAAAACUCCCUAAAAUAGUUAACCCAUAAAACAUUUUGACUAACGUUACAAGUAAUUUGAUAUUUUGUAAAUUUUGAAUGCUAAAUUAUACGACACUUAAAAUUUCAUGACCAUAAAUGAUAAUUUGAUCAUUAUAGCAUUAAGAUAUAUCAUGUGCUUCAUAAAAUUAGUAUUUUAUAAAUAAAAUAUGAUAAUUUUUGUUCUAUUAAAUUAAACAUUCUGAUUAAUAAUGAUAUAUUUAGUCAGAAUAUUAAGGAGAAAAUAUGAGAAGAUAUGGUGUCUAAGGCAAAUCAUAGGGCUCUAUAGUUUCGUCAAGAAGGCUUUUUGAAAAGCUGAUUGGGUCAAGUCCUUCGAUUUGUAAAAAUAAAUGCGCGCAAUGUCCAACAACUUGCCAUGUUAAAAAAAUAGAAUAACCAAAAUUAUAAAUUUAGUUAAAUAGGAGACCAAAAUAUUUAUAUACUAAAUAUUGUCAAUUGUAGGUAUAGAGGAAUAUUCUAGAUAUAGAUAAAUUUUUAUGAAUUUAAAUGAUGUAAAAUAAAUAAUUAAUGAAAUGGGUAAAUCAAUGAUUAAUACUGUAAUUAUUUAAAAUUAUAUAAUUGCAUAAUUAAAUCUAAAUUUACAAGAGUAUUAAAAUAAAAAAAACUAUUUUUUAUAUUUAAAAAAAUUAUUUCUAAUAUGUUUUCGGUUUAAAUUUAUAAAAGAAUUAGAGUAUUUUUUUUUUUGUUUUAUUAUAAUAAAAGAAUACUAGAGGGAGUAUUACUAGUUAUCCCACUCCACAUGUUUUUUUACGAGCAAAAUCAUCAUCAUCAUCAUUAUGUUAGUAUGCAUAUACAUAAAUAAAUAAACAAAUGUGAGUUUUCACUUAUUAUGUUUGUUACCGUUGACACUGGCCCGUUCUAACAAGGUAUAGUGGGGCCAGGACCCAUAUAAUUUCGAAAAUCAAGGCAAUGACUCCGGUGUCAACAUCAGAGUGAACAACACGAGUUGACUAGACAAGACCGUUUGUUUUUUUGUAUAUCUAGUUGUUGUAACUUCCACUUUCAACAAAUCUCACACUACACAACACAACAACCUUUUCUUUUCACUGGUUUUUUCUUCUCAUUCAAUGGAAAUGCCUAAUGCGAUUAUGAACCGGGCCGAACCGGGUUCGAAGGAGAGCCGUUUAAGAGCGGAGAUCGAUACUUCAGUGCCGUUUGAGUCUGUGAAAGAAGCUGUUACUCGAUUCGGAGGUGUUGGUUACUGGAAACCUAUUCUCCAUCAUAAUAAUAAUAAUGACAAUAUUAACCUCAUCACUCCUCAGGUAAUUUAUCUUUUUGUUAAUUUUAUUUAAUUUAAUACUGUUUUGUUGCACUGCACUUCAGUCCAAAGUUUUCAUUUUUUUUUAACUAUAAUUUAUUUGCCGUUGUUUUUAAUUAGUUUUGUAAUGUUCGUUCGGCUCUUUGGUUAUGAUUUAGGGGUCACUCUGUAACUUUGUAUUUUUCUGAGAACUAGGAGACUUGGAUCUGGAGAAGCUAUAAAUAUAAAAAAAGUAAAAGUAAAUGAGUUAUAACUAAGAGGAACAAAUCGAAUUAACAAUUUGCAAUUUAUAUGGAUCUUUUAGAAUAUUGAUAAGAUGGCAAACUAGGUUGAUAAUGUUCAUAAUUUACUCAAAAGAAAAUAAAAAUUGUGAAUGCUAUCUAAGUGUGCGAAUUAAUUGAAGGUGUAUCUUCAAAAUUAUUUAAUUUGUGUGAAAUAAUCAAAAUUUCAAUGUUUUCUUUUAGCAGCAAAACACAGAAGAGCUUGAUGCUGGAAAAUUGGAGGAGCAAGCAAUGGUAUUGGAGAAAGAACUCAUCCUGAAAGAAAGGGAAACUCUUGAUGUUUUAAAAGAGUUGGAAUGUACCAAAAGGCUUGUGGAAAAUUUGAAAUCAAAGCUACAAGCAGAAGAAUCUGAAUCAAAUUUGAACAUUAAGAUGAGUUUAUGUGAUGAUAAGGAGCAUGAGAAAGAAGAAGAAAAGGAAAACCAAGUGAAUCAUGUUCCUUAUAAUUCAACAACUCCAGGUUUAAUAUUAAGGGAAUUGAAGCAAGCGAAAUUGAAUCUCAACCGAACCACAAACGAUAUUGCUGAUGUUCGAGCUUCUGUCGAAUCACUCAAUAAGAAAUUAGAGAAGGAAAGAAUGUCACUCGAGAAAACCCGUGAGAGGUUAACUCAAAACUCUUCAAAAAUAACUUCUUUAGAGGAAGAGCUGAACCAUACAAGACUUAAACUGCAAGUGGUGAAAGAUGCUGAAAACAAAAGCGAAUUGGAUGACCCUUCUGAUAUUACGAUAGAGCUUCAAAGAUUGAGUUCCGAGGCAGAACAUUUCAAGAAAAUGGGAGAAGUUGCAAAAUCAGAAGUGUUGAGAGCAAUGUCUGAUAUUGAACAGACAAAAGUUAUGAUAAGAACAUCUGAAAUAAGGUUGGUUGCUGCUAGAAAAAUGAAGGAAGCUGCCAGAGCAGCCGAAGCUGCCGCACUUUCGGAGAUAAAAGCUUUAUCUUAUCAUGAAAAUUCACUUGGAGAUUGUGUGGAAAAGCAUGAUGGAGGAGUCACUCUUUCUUUUGAAGAGUAUACUGCUCUAACCUGCAAAGCUCGAGACGCCGAGGAACAAUCUAAGAAGAGAGUUUUUGAUGCUAUGCUUCAAGUUGAUGAAGCAAAUUUAUCAAAAAAGGAUGUUUUGAAAAGGGUGGAGGAAGCCACAGAAGAAGUUAAAACAAGCAAGAAGGCGCUUGAAGAAGCUUUCGAAAGGGUAGAGGCUGCAAAUAGAGGGAAGCUAGAAGUUGAAGAGGCUUUAAGGAUUUGGCGGUCCGAGAGUCAUAAAAGGCGAUCAUCGAUAUAUAAUAACUAUACAAAGUUUAAAAACCCUUGUCCCCAUCGGAGAGACACUCAGUUAUUCAAUGAAAAUGGGAUGAAUGUUGUUGAUGAUGAAGAUAAACCGGUUCUAAAGCCAACUUUAUCUAUAGGACAAAUAUUGAGGAGGAAACUGAUGGCGUGGGAAGAUUUUGAAGAUGGGAUGAUUAGAGAAAGAAGCUCAAUGAAACGGAAAGUGUCGUUGGGUCAGAUGCUUGGUAAACACAACUAUGAUCCAUGCUUUGAAUUUGAUAGGCAAGUUGAGAAAGAAAAUGGUCAGAAACAGUUUUCUGCUAAGAGAAAGAAAUUUGGAUUUGCUAGAUUCUCCCUUCUUUUGACAAAACAACCAAAGAAGAAGCCAACUCUUAACUUGAGGUGAUGAUGGGGUUACUUGAUCUUCUAUCUGCUCACAUAUUUUUCUGAUAUUGUGAUUGAAUUUGCAUGGCAAUAUAUUCUUGUGCUGUAUUUAGGUUAUUGGGAUUUGUAUUGUAGUCAUUGCUUGUAUUCUAAUUAAUUAAUUCAUUAAUGUGUGUUUAUCACUUGCUAUACUAAUUUGUAGAGGUGUGGUUUAUAUCAAUUUAAUUUUGGUAAGCUUGUGUUUUUACUGUGUAUGUUUUAUUCUUUAUUCUUUCAAUAUCAGUUUAACUCUUGUUACGCUUGGAUACAUGGCAAGAGGUGUCAAAAUUGAUUGUGUUAAAUGUGAUUUUAAUACAAAAUUAUGUGUUUGUGUUAAAAAGUGAUUAAAUUAGGCAUUCUAAGGUGAACUAACUUGAUAGGUUGUCUACUAUUGACUAGUGUUUUAAAAUUGUUGGUAACUCUAAUGAUAUCAAUUGUCUUCGAAAGUAGAAAGUUCUUACCUUUUCGUCUUCACGGUUGUACAACAAUUUGAUCAAUGUUGGUUCAACAUAAAAUAAUGAAAAAUAAAUAUGAAUACCUCUAACACAAUAGAUGUAUGGUAAAAUAAUAUAAAACAUUUGACACCAUGGUUAACACAAUAACUAUUGUCAUUUUAUGAAUAAGCUAUCAUAUGUAGAGUUUUAUAAACUUAUCAAUUUGAUACGCUUUCCACGUACGUUUUCAUUAAACGAAUUCCUUCUUGUGCUUUGCACGAGUAUAAAUAUCAGUAAGAAUAAUAUUUGUAUUGCGUUCAUAAUUCAUAGGAAGUUUUGCACCAAUUUUAGUGUAAAAGAAAUAUAUUUUAAUACAAGUUUCUUUUGAUCAUGAGUGAAAAAAGUUGGAUCUAGUACAAUUUAACUAGUGUGUAGUAUCCCAUUUUAAAUAAUAUAAUAUUAUAAAAUUAAACAAAAUUCAAGUAGACAUAUUGUAAAAUAUAGAAUUAAUAGAUAAGAGAGAACACAAAAGAGAGAAGAAGAGAGUAACCUAGUUUACUCUUUAAAGUGCUUUUACAUUGCUACAUUAGUAAUUACAAUGAACAAUAGUAUAAUAUCCAAGUAAAUGAGUGACUUAUAAAAUCCAUUUACUAUAUAAAAUCCAUUUUAUUAUUAUUAUUAUUAUUAUUAUUAUUAUUAUUAUUAUUAUUAUUAUUAUUAUUAUUGUUAUUGUUAUUGUUAUUGUUAUUGUUAUUGUUAUUGUUAUUGUUAUUACUUACUCAUUAAAACCUUACCAAAAAAAUCUCUUGAGACAAAACCUUUGCGAAGCAAAAAAGAGUGCAUACUAAUUUUCGCCACCUCUCAUGAAGACAAUCAUCUCUAAGCAAAAAAGGUUUACUUGGUUAUCACCUGAACGAAUUUGUUAAAUGGUUAUAUCGCUACUAUUUUAAAGAUCAUGAGUGAAAAAUAACUUUGAUGAAACAUGUUUUUUUUACUAUCUUAUUUAACGUACCAUUCUUUCAAUUAGUGAUGCAUGCAUCUUCAUAAAGGAUUUUUGAAUUCAUUCUUCUGAAAGAAAAAUUAAAAGUCUUUUGUAUCUAUUGAUUCAUAGACCUCAACCGAACGUAUUCUACACUUACCUCAUGUAGUACUAAAAUUUAUUUAUGAUUCGAUGAUGUUGUUGCUAUCACUACAAGAAGAAGUUGAAUUAGCUAGGGCUUUUUAGUCCUAGGAGAUUUGCUAGGAAUUUUAAGCCCUCACUAAUUAAAUGUGAUUCAUUUUUUAGGGUCACAGUCCAAGCAAAAUGGUCAAGUUAUUUUGCUAGGCUAGAGCCCUAGAAAAAUAUGAGAAUUUUGAGUUUGCGAGGGCCAUAGCCCUAUGUAUUGCCACAUUAAAAAAUUUCUAGGGUUGAAGCCCUCGGUAUAUUAAAGGCGCAAAUUUUUUAUUUUCAAAAUUUCACAUUACCUAGGACUAAAUUCCUCAUUAGUCGUUGACUGACACACACUACCGCUUCCUAAGGCCUAAAGUCCUCACUGAUUAGAUAAUUUAAAUAGUCCGAGGGCUAAAGUCCUCGCCUCCCAUGUACUGAGAUUUGCGUCGACUCCUCCUUUUCCCCUCUCUUCUCUUCUUUUCUACCUUUCUUCCUCCACUCUAGCAUUUUUCUUGCUUUUCUUCUUCAUCUUUUGUUCCCCACUACAAUUUUCGGGCACGAUAUUCAAGUUCUACUUUCUUCUUCAUUUUCGAGUUUUUAUUGGCAUAUCAUUUAUUUUGUUGUUUUUAUGUUAUUAUAUAUUUAUGUGUUUUUUUUAAUGUAAUUUGUGAGUAAAUAUUAGAAAUAUUUGGGCGAAGAGGAGAAACUGAUAAGUUAGACCCAACUCUUAAUUAUAAAUUCGUAUUAAAAAAUCUAUAUUGUGUUUAUUAUGAUUUUUGUGAACUUAUAAUAUAUUUUGAAUUUUUGGUGGAAUUUUUUUGAAAUUUAAAAUAUGUUACUAUAUAUAUUUUGAAAAAAAAUGUUAAUUUUUAUAAUUGGAAAUAUUUUAAUUUUUAUUUAAUAUAUGUGCAUUUGUUGUAUAUAUGUUAUUUAAUAUGAAUUUUUAUUUGUAUUUUAGGAAUGAAUGUAUUAAUUUAUAAUAAUACUAAUAUAUUAUAAUUUUAGGUCAUUAAUUAAUUAUAACAAUUUUUAAUAAUGUUAUACUUAGUAUAGAUUUUUAGUUUAACGGGAGAACUCGAUAAUUAGGCAAAAAAAAAAAUUUAAAAAUUACAAUCCAUUAUCGUGUGUGAACAUUUAUUUUUCUGUUUAAAGUUUAAUACAUAUUAUUGAGAAAUUAAACUCUCUUUCUGAGUCGUGCUUGUUAAUAUAUAUUAAAUUUGAAGUUAUCCAAGUUGAACAGUUUGAGAAUAACAAAUUAAUAUCAAAAUAUUGAUUAUUUAUUAAAUUCUUAUUAUGAUAUAUUUUUGUUAAAAUUUUGGUUACAUCCUAUUUCGUUUGUUCUAUGAGUGCAUACUUGAUUGUGAUAUAUAUUGAAAUGUUGUCAAAAUUUUGUAUUUAGAGUAAAGUGAAAUGCUGCUGAAAUUUUGUUAAAAAUAUACAUAUAUAUAUAUAUAUAUAUAUAUAUAUAUAUAUAUAUAAUAAGAAAAUAAUAAAUAUUUAUUAUUCAAUUAUUGAUUUUUUUUUUAAUUCUUGAAUGGAAUAGAAGCUUACCAAAAAUGUGUAGGUGAAAGAGGGUCUGUUNNNNNNNNNNNNNNNNNNNNNNNNNNNNNNNNNNNNNNNNNNNNNNNNNNNNNNNNNNNNNNNNNNNNNNNNNNNNNNNNNNNNNNNNNNNNNNNNNNNNNNNNNNNNNNNNNNNNNNNNNNNNNNNNNNNNNNNNNNNNNNNNNNNNNNNNNNNNNNNNNNNNNNNNNNNNNNNNNNNNNNNNNNNNAAGAGUGUCUGUUUGAUGGUCAUAUCGAAUCUAUAUUUAUGUAUUACUAGAAAAAUAAUCGCAGUUGGAUUUACGAUAGAAAUUAUCCCGAAAGAAGGGAUUUCAAGCGGGGGAAGAAUUUUUAGAAGUCGCAAGACAUCAAACUAUUGUUGAGGAGGAAUGUGGUAUUUGAUGUCCGUGUAAGAAAUGUUAUUGUACAAGUAUUAAAAAUAUAAUAAGGAAUUAUUUGUAUAAUAAGGAAUUAUUUGUAUAAUAAUGAAUUUAUGCCUAAUUAUUCAAUUUGGACUAAUCAUGAUGAAAUGGCUCCCCGAACUGUCAAUGUUCAAAAUAAUCCAAUAGUUGCUUCAAUUAGUAGUAUUGGUCCAUCAUGUGCUUCAUCUAGUAAUAUUGUUCCAUUAGUUGAGAGUCAUCAAGAGUACAUUGAUCAGUGACAAAAUAUGAUUUUUGACGCUCUACGAAUAAAUUUAUCAUUUGUUGAUCAACAAGGGGGAAUAAAUUUUAGAAGUCGCAAGACGCCGAACUAUUGUUGAGGAGGAAAGUGGUAUUUGAUGUCUGUGUAAGAAAUGUUAUUGUACUAGUUUUGAAAAUGUAAUAAGGAAUCACUUGUAUAAUAAUGAAUUUAUGCCUAAUUAUUCAAUUUGGACUAACCAUGAUGAAAUGGCUCACCGAACUGUCAAUGUUCAAAAUAAUCCAAUAGUUGCUUCAACAAUAUGAUGUCGGCGCAUAUGAACUCCGAAAUGAAGAUGUCUAAAGAUUUUAUAGCCUUUUGACAAAGACAAAUAAACCUUUAUUUGAUGGGUUUCCUAACUCCAACUUAUCCAUGUAUAUUAGAUUUUUAGGGCUAAAGUCUCAAUUUCAUGUUCCUGAUAUGUGCUUAGCUUUUAUGACCAAGCUGAUGUUGGAUACAACUCCAAUUCAAAAUGAUACUUUGCCAACAAGCUAUUAUGAUGUUAAAAAGUUAGUGUCAAAUUUGAGAUUUGUUGUUAAGAGAAUACAUUUUUGUGUUAAUGGAUGUAUGUUGUUUCACAGCAACGAAUUUGGAGCAAAAUAUGUUGAGCUAUUUGAAUGUAAAUUUUGUCAAAAAAAAAAAGACAAGUAGGGAGAAAUUGAUUCCAAGGAAAACAAUGUUUUAUUUGCCUAUUGUAUCAAGAUAGCAGAGAAUGUUCGCAUUAAUGUAAACUACUGGCAAAAUGACACGACAUUAUCAAAAUAAAAGAAGAUCAAAUGAUCAAAUGCGAUAUCCGUCAGAUUGUCUAGCAUGGAAGCCCUUUGACUCUGGAAUUUGUAUAAGUUUUGAAGAUGUAACUCUGAUAAAAUAUGGGGGAUUUGAGAUCAGAUCCUCAUAUUGGAAACUACUAGACAAAAUUCCCAUUUGGUUACCUACCAAAUGCACAUAAUGGAAAUAUUUGGCUAAAUAUGUUUAAUUGACAGAAAUAGUUUGCACAAACUUGAAAUCUGCAAAUGGUAAUAAUUUUCAAAUCUGUAGUAAUGAUCAGAAAUGGAACAACACAUGAUCAUACCACUUCAAAGCAUCAAUUUAGAAAAUAACUAAAUUGAAACAAUACAACAUUUCAAUUUAAUGUUGAAGCAAGACAAACGUUCACAUUUGCAAAAUAAUUCUUUUUGUUUCAGCAAGCAAUUAGAACAGAAAUGCAAUUGAAAAAUCGUAAAAUAAUUUUCAUCAAACUACUUUGUAAAAAUCGAGAAAAUCUGGAACAACAAAGUUUGGACAAAAUUGACAAACUUCAAAUCAAAGUCUGGACUUGGAAUUAUGAAGAACAUUGACACAUUGAUCAACAUCAAAUACUUAGAAUAAAUCCAAACAUAUUACUAUUUGAAUAUUAAGCAUUUGUACAAACACAUAUUGAUAAGUGCUAAAAUGUUAGACACAUACAUAUCCUCUCAUUGAGAGUUAAACACUUACAAAAACAACCAGAAAGUUAGGUAGACUUAACUGGGUGAGGUUAAGUGGUUUGUUGUAAUUCAGGUUGAAUUAUUGGAAGAAAUCCUUCAAGUGAAGGUAUUGGACGUAGCCAACCAAGUUGGUGGUGAACCAGUAUAAAAUUCCUUGUGUGAUUUUCUUCUUUCCUUUGCUUUUAUUUUCCAAAUUACUUUGAUCACCAAGUCAUAAUUAAAUUUCAAAAACAUUUUUAACAAACUAUAACACAAUUUAAACCCCUAUUUCUUGUGUUAUUGAAACUUCAUAAAGAUUUUUAUUAAAGGACGUGCAGUCCUUACUUGGAUAAUAACAAGAAACAACACACUUAAAUAAGCACAAUCCAGUUGUCUCGACACUCUUGUUCUAAAUUUUUGCUUUACACAGUGCUAAAAAUAACUCUAAGAGUACAACUUUAUAAACAUUCUCUUGUGAGAGUUUGUUUUCAGAAAACUUAAACUUAUUCUUUUGCAACCUAGUCGAGUAAUGGUUGCCUCCCUCAACAGCUUGAGUGCACUAAGCUAGAAGAUGGAGGGGACUCGAACAUAGUAUAUUUGACUAGUAGUUGUUUAGUGGGAGUGUGAUUCAGGUGGUAAAUUAGUGGAUUAAAUCUUUCAGGUUGAAAAGAUUGGACGCAAUUUUGUGUUGGUGGUGAACUAAGAUAAAUUGUCUGUGUUAUUCUAUUUAUCUACUUUGUUUUCAUUAAUUUGGUUUAGUCUUUUAUAAACGGUUUAAAAAAAAUUCAAACUUUUUUCUUGUGUUUCUCGUUCUACAUGUUUUUCAUCAUCAUGUUAAAACCAAGUUGCUUUGAAGAACUAUGAUCCUUACUUGUUUUGAUGAUAACGAAAUUAUUUUGUCGUAACAAUUUAAAGCACGAAUACUCUAUUUACGCGUGUAGUACUUAGAUCAAGUUUACAUUGAAUGACUUUACGCUGCAUCCUUUGAUCUAGGAACCAAGUUUAAAGAACACCAAAACUCCACUUUGAAAUUCGUAUUUUGAUUAUGUUGUAAAUGAUGUAAAGAAUAUUAGAUGGAAGGUCGAUGAGAGGAAAUGUUAUGUUCAACUUUGUCAUCCAACUGAUUCUUUGCAAUGGAAGAAACUUGAUGAUUUGUACAUGUAGUUCGGCAAUGAGCCAAGAAACCUUAGGAUUGAACUUGAUACAAAUUAAAUGAAAUCAUAUGGCAAUGUAAGUCGAAACCAUAGUUCAUGGGCCGUUCUACUAGUUUUCUACAAUCUACCUCAUUGGAUUUGCAUGAAGCAUAAAUACAUUAUAUUAUCUAUGAUGAUUUCAAGUCUGAGACAACCUAGAAAUGACAUAUAUGUAUAUCUAAGUCCCUUGAUUGAAUAUUUGAGAAUGCUUUGGGAAGGUGUCGAUGUGUUUGGUGGAUAUUCUCGUUACUAUUUUAAGAUGCGUGCAGUACUAUUUGGCACCACCAAUGACUUUCCUGCCUAUGAAAAUGUAUGUGGCUAUAGUGUUAAUGGACAUAAAGCAUGUCUUAUUUGUGAAGAAGGCACAUGCUACAAGCAAUUGAAACAUGGAAGAAAAAUAAUUUACGUUCGGCAUCAAAAAUUUCUCAAGUCUAAUCAUCCAUAUCGUAGGUUGAGAAAAGCGUUUAAUUGACACUAGGGAUGAGAAUAGGCUAGGCCGUCUGUCAGGGGCCUAUGGCCUGACCUACUUAUGGUCUGGCCUGGCUUGACCUAUUUAAUAAAAAGGCUAGGCUCAGACUGUUUUUAAAGCAUAUUUAUUUAAAUAGGUCAGGCUUAUAAAAAAGCCUAUUAGGCCUGACAGGCCGACCUAUAUAUAAUUUAUUAUUUAUUUUUAUUAUUAUAUUAAUAAUAUUAUUUUCUAUUUUCAAUUCUAACAAUUAGGGAAUCACUCAGUGAGCAUUCCAUAUUCAGUAGUUGUUCCAUAUUCGGUAGCGAUUUCAUAUUUGGUAGUCAUUCCAUAUUCGAUAGCUGUUCAAUUAGUCAAUCACUCAGUAGUCAUUCCAUAUUUGUUUAAGAGGUAAUAAUGAGUGUGUUUGUUUCAGAAGAAAAAAAAUCUAUUAUUUGACACAAAAAAUUAUUUUUUAGGGUUUAAAGGAUGUUUGUUUCAUAUUUUUUAAAAAUUACUUUAAAUAGGUUUCCAGGCUAGGCCAGACUUUUAAAAAGGCCAGGCCAAGCCGAAAAAAAAGCCUAUGAUAGACCGUAGGCCAGGCUUAGGCCUAAGAAAUAAUUCGUAGGCCAGGCUCAGGCCUUUCAAAGCCUGGCCUCGCCUGACCUAUUCCCACCCCUAAUUGACACCAAGAGCAUGAAAUUUCUCUUAAGCCUUAUCUGUGGAGCAAGUUUAUCAACGAGGUCAGGAUAUCAAUGUUAUCUUUGAAAAGAACUAAAAAUAGACAUUUGAGAAAAAUAUAUGGAAGACAUUGUCUCGAUGUAACACGUGUAGAGAAAAAUGUGUGUGAUAGUGUAAUUGGAACACUUCUCAACAUUCAGGAGAAAACAAAGUAUGUUUUAAAUGCUCUUAUAGAUAUGGUUGAUAUUGGUAGAACCAAGUUGGUUUGAAGAACUACGACCCUUACUUGUUUUGAUGAUAACAAAAUUAUUUUGUGGGAACAAUUUAAAGCAUUAAUAUUAUGUUUAAGUGUGUAGUUUUGAACGCGCUCUAAAACACCCCUCUGGUAAUUCGGUUAAUGCAAGUAAUGCUUGGAUUAGUCUUGGCUCUAAUUAGUGUGACAAACAAGUGAUAUUCUGCCACUAAUAAACAAGUCAAGCAUUUGAUUGUUUGACCUUAAUGGAAAGUCAACCCUAUAAAGAAGACAAAUUUGUGCAUUCUUUGCUCAACACCCCAAUCCGUUAUUUUUCUGAAGGUCUAUGUGGCAUAUUCUAAUCAUGAUAUCCAUUACGCAUAAUAACUACAAGGAUAUAUUUUGAUGAGCUUUAAUGGUGAAUCAAUCUUUGAAGAUUUGAUACAAAACUUCAUGAUACAUGUUGAUUUCUUGCAAUUAGGACAACGACCAGAAACCUUAAAGUUUUCUAUAAAAGGACGUGCAACCCUCAUUGAAAAAAACACACAACAGCGUACUACAGUAACUAAUAUAACCUUCUCUGCACUCUUGCUCUUAACAUUUGGUUUUGUCUAAGUGCUGAGAAAUAUUUUCUGAGAGUACAACAUUGCAAACACCCUGUUGUGAGAGUUAUUCAAAAAAUCCCUUAAACCUAUUCUAUAUGUAAUUUAGCCCAAUAGUGGUUCAUCCCUCACUAGCUUGAAUGUACUAAGCUAGAAGGUUGACAAAACUUGAACACAAUUAGAUUGACUGUUGGUGAAUUAGUGGAUUAAAUCCUUCAGUUUGAAGAGAAUGGACGUAGUUAUUGUGCUGAUGGUGAACUAAGAUAAAUUGGCUAUGUUAUUAUGUGUUUUUGUUUUAUCUACUCUAUUUUCAUUACUUUGUUUUUAUCUUGUUAAAACGGUUUUAAAAAUAAAACACAAAUCAAUUCGCCCACCCAUUUCUUGUGUUUCUCAUUCUAUAAAGAUGGGUAUAAGAAAACAAUUAGCUACACAAUCAGCAUGUAAACGAAUGGGGAAUAAAAGUGUCGCAUGGCUAAUCCUCAAAUGUCAAGAUUCUGGUCUCAAUGAAAGAUUUAAAAUGAGUUGCCUUAAAGUCUCACAAUUGCCACAUAUUGAUGCAACAUCUACUACCAACACUACGACACUACUAGAAAAAUCAGAAAUGCUGACUGUAAGAAUUUAGGGUAUUUUGUGUUGAAUUUCUUAGGCUUUUAGCCUAGUUUUUGGUAUUUCGUGAGUUAAAUGCCAAAAAUAUAUUUUUGGAAAUCCGAUUAAAAUUAUUUGUCGAAGAAUAAUUUAAUUAUGUUACAAAGAAUUUAAUAUCGAGCAGAUUUUUUAAAAAUGUCACUUGCUGCUGAAAAAUUUAUCUGUCAAUUGAGUUGCAACGAGAGUAGAUAUUUUUAUUAAAUUAGAUUGAGAUGUGAGUGAAGUGAUGUGUGUAAGAGUUGUUAGAUAUUUGUUGUUUUGAGUUUAAGUGUGUAUAUAUAUAUAUAUAGUAAGGAAACAGAAAAGAAAAAAAAAAUGUUUUCCUGCUGCCUAGCGAAUUCCUUUCUUCUUCUUCCUUUCUAUUUGCGAAAAAGUUUGUGUUGGUGGGUUUGAAAACAAAAACACAAACACAAACCCUUAUUUAUCUACCAGAUCUAAGCUCCCUUUCGAGAAGUGACAAAAGGGAAAGUUGCUCCUUGCCACGAUGCGGUGCUAGUGAGCUAGUUUUCGAAGCGACUACGCGAGCAAAAAUCUUACCGUGAUUAAUUGUGGUGUCGUAAUCGGUUGUUAAAGCUACAACGAAGGUAAGGGCUCCUUCCAAACUUUUAGUUUGCAUUUAGGACCUUAUAUGUGAAUUUGUGAAAAAUAAGUUUUAUGUGUUUGAGGUAUAUUUGUGGAAAAAUGAAUUUAAUUUGAUUUAUGAGUGGAUUAAUGGAAUUUGAAUUUGGUGUGUUUGAGGUGUGGUUUGUGGUGAUUCAUGUUUGGUGGGAUUAAUGUGUUCAUAAUUAAUAUUAUGAAUUUUUUAGAUGUGUUUUAUCUGUGGAUUUGUGAAAAAUGAAAGGUGAUUUAAGUGUGGUUGAGGAAAUUGUUUUGAUGUGUUUGAGGGGUGGUUUGUGGAAAUUAAUUUGGUGUAAAAUUAUGUUUGAAAUUGUGGAAAUUAAUGGGUGAAUUAUGAUUGAAAUAUGUGGAGUUGUAAUAUGGGUGAUUUGCGGAUUAAAUUUAGUGAGAAUUGAGAAAAUUGAAAUUGACGGGUGAAUUUUUGAAUUAAAUUUGAGGUAGUUAAUGAGUGAAUUUGUGGAGAUUAAUUUGGAUGAGAUUAUGUGCUCAUAAUUGAUAUUAUGAAUGAUUGUGGUGUGAUGCUGUGGUGAUUAAGUUUUGAUGUGAUUAUGUGUUUAAAACUGCUAUAUGUAUGUUUAAGGUGCACUGAAGUGCAAUUAAGUGGUGAUUGCGAUGGGCCACAAUGUUAAUUAGUGACCGCGAUGGGCCACAGGAUGGUUCUAUGAGUUGAUUGGUUCAUCUUAUCCUUACGAGGAUUUAACUAUGGUAUUUGUCCGUGAGAGACUACGCCCUAGUAAAUCGUGUUUGUUCGUGAGAGACUGCAUUAGUGAUUGUCUGUGAGAGACUACACCCUAGUAAAUCAUGUUUGUCAAUGAGAGACUGCACUGGUGUUUGUCCGUGAGAGACUACACCCUAGUAAAUUGUGUUUGUCCAUGAGAAACUGCACUGGUGUUUGUCCGUGCGAGACUACACCCUAGUAAAUCGUGUUUGUCCGUGAGAGACUGCAUUGGUGUUUUUCCGUGAGAGACUACACCCUAGUAAAUCGUGUUUGUUUGUGAGAGACUGCACUCGUGUUUAUCUGUGAGAGACUACACUCUAGAAAUCGUGCUGGUAUGUGAGAGACUGCACUCUUGUGAAUCGUGCUGGUCUGUGAGAGACUACACUCUUUUAAAUUAUGCUUGUCUGUGAGAGACUGAACUCUUGUAAAUCGUGUUGGUCUGUGAGAGACUGCACUCUUGUGAAUCGUGCUGGUCUAUGAGAGACUGCACUCUUGUAAAUUGUGAUGGUUAGUGAGAGACUGUACAAUUACAAUUUACACCUCUCGAGGAGAGCUUUGGUUUGGAAUUUCUAGAAUCAUGCAUUUUGGCAUAUACGCAUUGCAUUAGGGUGUUUGGCACGUGAGUCAUGUUUGAUAUAUUGUGAUGAUUGUAUAUACAUACUCAGUUGUUGUCUACGUGCGAUCAUUGAUUUUGUGUUGUAAGUGUUGAAUGAUUUCAAAACGGUUUAAAAACUAAAAAUCUGCAUUUUUCAAAGUUGUAUUCGAAUACGACAUCAUAGAGUUUGCUACUGACUUAUCAUUUCGCACUUGUAUUCGAAUACGACAUGACUGUAUUCGAAUACGACAACACAUAUUUUGCCACUAACUUGCACAAUAUUCGGAUACGAGAUUUAUGUAUUCGGAUGUGACAGGAUGAUUUUGCUACUGAAUUAUGAAUUAGCACUGUAUUCGAAUACGAAAGGGCAGUUUUGUUAAAAAAUUCAUUUUUCAACCUUGAUUAUGCAUGUUUGGCAUAUGAAAACCCUUUCAAGGUGUAUGCUAAGUUGAAAGGUUAUUUUGUGUAUUUGAAAUUUAAAUGUUAUGUGAUAUUUGUUAGUUUCGGUUGGUGAUUCUUUACAAUUAUUGUGGAAAUCUAGGCUUUGCCCUCAGAUGAGAUCCAGGAUCAUCCUACCGGUUAGUACCCUGGAGAUGGGAAGGUAGUUAGACAUACCUGACCGAAGUUGUGUCAGGAGGAUUUUGCAGGGAGCGUGGAGAUCACCCGAAUUGUAUAGUUUUUGUAGCAUGAUCAGAUUAGAUGGUUGUAUAGGGGCUAGAUGUCUUUCUUUUGUGGAUGUAUUUAUUUCAAUUUGGAACACUGUACCUAUACCUCAUAUUGUCAGCUUGGCUUUUAUUUUGAUGGGUCCUUGUACCAGUUUUGAUGCGAAGUGGGGAAGUUAAAAUUCUUGAGGCAGUGCUUUUGUACAUGUGUCUGCCGAGAAUACCCCAGGGGUAUGAGCUAUGUCUGAUUGGUCUCAUAGCCCCAGUGUAUUUUGCUGUUUAAAUACUUUGGAUUUUUGUUUCAAAAAUUAUUUCCGCUGCUUGUAAAUAUUGUUGACUUUUUCGUUGUGUUCGACUUAAAUAUUUUAUCCAAAAGUAUUUCUUUCUUAAUUUCUGAAAUUUGAUUUUUGUUUUAAAAAAAAAAUUACACUCGCGAUGUUAAAAAUCGGGGUGUUACAUUAAUGAAUACAAUAUGUCUCUAAAUUUAACAAAUUUCGUCGCUAAACAUUGUAGAGACGGAAUUGGAGACAAACAUGUUCCGUAAUUGGUUUUCGCAUCUCUAAGACGUUAGAGACAAAUUUUAUAAUUUGUCUCUAAUUAAAGACGGAGUAUGUCCAUGUCUAUCAGAGAUGGAUAUAUCACUUCCGUCUUCAAUAAAAUUUAGUUUUGUCCGUCUCUAGCUUAUCACAUUCCAUCUCUAAUAUAUGAACAAUUUUUUUUAUUAAGCUCUCACAAAUCCAUCUCUAAUUAUUUUGUACCUCAAUAUUUAUGUAUCAAUUUUCAAAUAUUAAAUUUCAUACUUUAUAUAUGACACUGGAUUCCCACAAAAAUUAUAUUUAGAUCAACACCAAUUUAACAAUAAUGUCAUAAAAAGUUCAUAUAACUCUUUCACACAAAAAACAAUAACAAUACACUACAUGCAAUCAAUAUUUAAAUUUGUUCAAAACAUAACAAAUAAUAUUUGAUUUUACAAAAUAUCUAAAUGGAAGUAAUCAAUGCCCAAGGUUAGCAUCCAUAUCAUCACCCAUCUCUUCAUUUUCAUUAUCACUUUCUCCUUCCGGUUGAAGUGUAGAAUUUUGAUUACAAUGAGGCAUAACACUCUCAAACAUCUGCUCCCAAUGCGCCAUUUUUUUAAUCAUUUAUUGUUCAAGAUUCUUUUUUUGAAGGUCAACCGUUAAAGCUUCAAUCUUACCUUCCAUAGCAGCAACUUGUUCUGAAGAUACAUCAAAAAUUGUAGAUGAUUAUUUUAUGAAUGCUUUGAUAUUUGCAACUUUAGAGACGGACAACAUUUGAGAUGAAAUUGUUUCGUCUCUACAUUUUGUCUCUAUAUAUAUUUUUUAUUUUAUUUUUAGAGUACAAGUUUGACUUAUUAGAAACAUAUCUUGAGAUGGGUUUAGUGUAACACCCCAAUAUUUUCAUAUAUAUUAUAUAUGCGUCUUUUAAUAAUUUUCGUAAUUGAUUAUUUAAUUAAUAUUUUAUUCUAUAUGUGAAGAAAUUAAAUUAAAAUUUACCACUCUCUAAUUUACUUGAAUUAUUAUAACUUUUAUUUUUAUUUAAUUGUUUUGGUGUGACAAUUACAUUAGAAUGAUUUAUAGCAUAAUUAUUUCCUAUGUGGACAACUCUGUAUUUUGUUUAUUUGAUUAGUUUUGAUAAUCAUGAAAUUGAUGUGUUAGAUACAUUGGCUUUAUUUUGUUAUACGUGACCUGCAGUGAUAUUUUUUCUUACUUGAUUUAUUUUUGUUGAUGAAAACAUUAGUUGAAUUUAUUUAAUUAAAUUACAAUUUAUAGAAGUUAUAUCGUUUAUUAAUUUUAUUUUAGACCAAAUAAGUAUUCGACCUAGGAGAUAGUAGAGUUAGUGAAAAUCCUUAGUUUUAUUUAUAUAUUAUAUUUAAUUAAUUUAGUGGGACAAUAAUAAGAUAAUUGUUCCUUUAAUGUUUAAUUAUUUGAUGAAGUAUAUUAUUAUUAAUUAAUUGUUGGGGUUUUGUUAGUAAUUAAUUAAAACUCGCAGGAGUAUUUUGUUUUUAGACUGAACAAUGACCAAGUCAAUUUCGGUUAAAAUUUAAUCAGUCACACUACUACUCUUGAUAAAUAUAUUUUAUUUUUAAUAGCAUUUAGUUAUAGAACCGUGUGUUUCCUACUUUACAUCCACUCAAAUGUGUAACAAGCAAGAAUGAGUACAUGAAUGUCAAUUAAGUCAUUGAAUGAUAUUAUUCCAAUUGAAUACCUUAUUGAUGUGUGCAAUUAACCUCAAUGAGAAGAAUUAUUCUCUUCCUCCAAUCAGUUUCACAUCUCCAUAUAAAUCUCAUACACCUCUUCCUCACAUAAUAUGAUAAAACUUGCAACUAAUCACCCUUAACUCACACGCAAUUCCCAAUAUUAUAUUUUUUUUAUCUCAAAUAUUUUCUAAGUCACUAAAACAACCACCCACAUAUUCCAUCUCUUUCUUGUGGAAGUUCUAAGCUUUUGUUCCUUCAUCUUUAUGAGGUUUUUCGAGGGAUAUAUAGUGUUACGUGGAAGGAAAGUGUCCAAGGUAAGGGCUUUUCUCCAUUCAGAGUUAGGCUAGAUAUUAAAUUAGUGGUUCAUAGGAUAUUAAUAAGAUGUCUAGAUGUCUUAAAAGAAAAAGAUUAAUUUUAUUUUUGUCGUGAAGAAAUUAACUAUAAUAUUUUGAUUGUUUCUUUUGAAUAAUACAUCUAUCUUGAUGAACUUAAUUAUAAAGUUUUAUUUUUAUUAUUAUCCCUUAAUAAAUAUGUUUGUAGUGAAAAUGUUUAACGCCUUACGUGUUUUAGAGUACUUAAUUAUAAAGUUAUAAUUUUUAUGAUGAUAUCAUCAGUAUUAUGUUUGUUAUGAUGUAGUUGAUAUUAAGUCUUGACUUUUUGAGUAUUUAAAAUUUAAAAUUUGACUUUUAUAAACAAUAUAUGGGUAAUGAGGAAAUUGAUGAAAAUUUUAUAUUUUUAAUUUUGACAAUAUGAGAAAAUUGAUUUAUUGAAAUGUAUUAAUGUAUAGUUCUUUUUUAUAAUGUGGAAAACUUUAUAGUGAAUGAAAUAAAAUUUCUAUUGUUAUUGUAUUCUUGGUAAUAUGAGUUUUAACUUUUAUCAAUAAUAAGUAGCCAAAUCUAAUCUUAUAGAUUAUUAAAAUGAAAGUGAUGAAGUUAUUGAGCUCUAACUAUGAACAUCCAUGAGAAUUUGAUGUGUUUUGUGCUUAAAAAAUUUAAUCUGAAUAUUUUAUAUAUUUGGUUGCCUACGUGGCUGGUGAUUUGUAUUUUAAAUAUUGUUAUCUUUGUGGUUGCCUAUGGCUGAUGAUUUGGCUUUUAAAUAUUAUUAUCUUUGUGGUUGUCUAGGUGGCUGGUGAUUUGUGUUUUAAAUAUUGUUAUCUUUAUGGUUGCCUAAUUGGCUGGUGAUUUGUGUUUUAAACAUUGUUAUUUUUGUGGUUGCCUUAGUGGCUAGUGAUUUGUGUUUUAAAUAUUGUUAUCUUUGUGGUUGCCUAAGUGGCGAGUGAUUUGUGUUUUAAAUAUUGUCAUCUUUGUGGUUGCCUAAGUGUCUCUGAUAUGUGUGAUUAUCUAAGUGGUUGAUGACAUGUACCUGUUGAGCAUAAUUAUCAUUUUAUGAUAUAUCAUAUGCAUCUUUGUGGACACUUGUGUGGCUGGUUUAAUUUUUCCCAAUUGGUGAGUGACUUCUGUGUGGACGCCUAUGUGGCUGGUUAUAUCCGGAUCAUAUAUGUUUAGGAGCAUGCAUAAUUUGCAUAUGUUUUAUUGUUAUUUUUAUUUUGAUCUAAUUAUUUGUUCUACGGUUGCUACUUUAUUUAUUUAGAUACAUUUUAUGACUUUUGAUACAUAUUUGAGAACUAUUAAGGAAUCAAUUUCUUUAAAUCUUUUAUUACAAAAAAAAAUUUAUAUUCAUAUUUUAUGGGUGUUAAUUUAUUAUUUGGUUUAAUUUUUGUUGUGGGAUGAACUGACCCCUUACACCAACAUUAGUUGCAUGAAUAAUGAUGUUUGAUUGAUCCAUGCGUGUGGGAAAAUGAGACUUUUACUUAAAAAUAAUGUUUUGUAUUACUAAAAAUUUUGUGGGACAUUGUAAAGUUAUUUACGCUUCAUCAUUAAAUUUUAAUAAAAAUGCGGAAUGGAGAUUUCAUUUGCUAGUAAAUAAUUGAAUGUCAUUAAUUUUAGUCAAUCUUGUUGUUUUUUUAAUUUCACUUAAAAAUAAUUUAUUUUAUUUUGGAGCAUAGAUGAAUAUCGAUCUAACAACUGAAAUAUUAAUUUUGAAAAUAAAUCAAUAAUUAAUAUUUUAGUAAAUUGCAUUACGUUCUUUUACAAAAGAAAAUAUAUCAAGUCAUUUUCUGACGUAUCUUCAAAUUAUUAUAUGAUGAACUACUCAUAAGAAAAAAAAAAAAUAGUUGUUUCUAAAAGAAAAUAAAUAUUUUAAAAUAGCCUCUGGAAAAAAAAAAAAACUUGGGGUGUUACAUUGUGGUAUCAGAACACUAAUUCUCGGACCUUGUGGGGGUGGAUGUGUCGUGUAUGUUGCAUGUAUUGUGAUGUUGCUGGUGUUAUUUGUUUGAUUUUCUAAUUUGUGAAUUUUAUUAAUUACUGAAUUUUUUUAAUUAUAUAUGUCAUUAAUUGUGUAGCAUUCUUGAAUUGGAAUUUUACUAAUUAUUUAAAUUUCUAUUAUGUGUCAUUAAUUGUGUAACAUCCCUAUAUUUGAAUUUUACUAAUUACUUAAAUUUCUAUUAUUGUCAUUAAUUAUGUUAACUAUUUGGUUUCUAAAAUUUGAAUUUUAUUAACUACUUAAAUUUCUAUUAUGUGUAAUUAAUUGUGUAACCUUGGUGAAUUUGAAUUUUUCUAAUUACUUAAAUUCCUAUUAUUGCCAUUAAUUAUGUUAACUAUUUGGUUUUCUAAUAAUUGAAUUUUAUUAACUACUUAAAUUUCUAUUAUGUGUCAUUAAUUGUGUAACCACCUUGAAUUUGAAUAUUUAAGAAUUACUUAAAUUCCUGUGCUAUUAAUUAUGUUAAUUGUUUGGUGUUCUAAUUAUUGAAUUUUACUUAAAUUCUUAUGUGUGAUUAAUUGUGUAAACUCCAUGAAUUUUUGUCAUUAAAUAUAUGACUUAAAUAUUUGGUUUAAUGGUGUUAUUUUAUUAUUUAUUUAGUUUUUUUAAAAUCUGAAAUCUCUAUGUCUAGUUGUAUGUUUCCUUAGCAUUGUCUUUUUAUAUUAUUUAGAAAUCUUCUAUUUAAUUUGAUAGAUUUUACUAUCUUUUUAUGAAAUUUUUUUAUUUGUUUAUCAUAUCGCUAUUUUAUUUUAAUAAUCUUAGACUCUCUACUUUUGCUCACGUUAAAUAUUUUGUGAUCUACCUAUUAAUUGGCUUAAUUAGUCUUGUUAAUAAUAAUCAUAAAUAUUACAAAAUAAUUUUAUCUUCUACUUGAUACAGAUUAGUAUUAUUAUGUUAUAAAAUAUAUUGUUACAUGCUAUUGUCAUCAUUGUCUCUUUUAUAUUAUUUUUAUGAAACUAUAAAUUUUAGUUCUCUUGAAUUACAAUUUUUUUUUAAAACAAUAUCAUUUAAUUCAAUGUGAUUAUUAGUGUUAGUAAUAAAUUUUCUUUUUAAUUUACUUAGUUAAGAUAUUUUUUUAUAUUUCAAAAGUAUUUAAUAAACUAAUUUGAUUUUGAUUUUAUUUCUUAAAUUAAUUUUCUUAAGGCAAAUUUAGUGUAGUUAUGUUUUCUUUUUGUAUUUAUAUACAUAUACAAGGUUUUCCAUAUUUUAUAAAUAUUGUUUACACACUAUAAGAUGAAGAGUUUAGAUAGUAUGUUGUUGUAAUUAUUUUACCAUUAAUAUUAUUACUAUUACUAUUGUUGUUAUUAUUAUUAUUAUUAUUAUUAUUAUUAUUAUUAUUAUUAUUAUUAUUAUUAUUAUUAUUUCCAUUAUUAUUAUUUCCAUUAUUAUUAUUAUUAUUAUUAUUAUUUGUUAACAUUUAGAUUUUUAUUUUAUGUUAUAAGUUACAUAAAAAAAAGAGACUAAGAAUGAUUUUCCCUUGUCAACAAUCAUUGAAUAUUUUUAUUACUAUAAAAUUUAUUAUGUCUAGUUACCUAAAUAAAAAUGUUUUUCUAGUAUUUAUUAUUAUAAUCUAAAUGCCGCAAAAUUUAAUUUUAAUUUUUUUUUUAAUUUUAUCGUGUUAUUAAUUUUAAAAGUCUGGUUGGAUUAAAAAUAGUUAACAAGGUUGAAAUGAAUGGAAGACGGGAUGCCUUCUGCUCUACAAAUGUAUUAAAAGUUUUUCAAUAGCCCUGAUUUAAAGAAAAAUUAAUGUGAUUAUCACUAAAUGAGUAGGAGAGGUUAAUCACCCUAGUGACUUAAUUUUGAAGAAAGCGAUAACAAUAAUUCAUUUUUACUAUCCUCGAGAAUUUAUUUUACCUAUUAAAAAGACUAUCAAUAUUUAUUUUAUUUUGCAUUGUCUUUAUGAGAUAAAUUACAAUAUGUGUGUGCUAUUAAUAAUGAUAAAUGUAUCAAAUUUAUGGAAUUUAAAAAAAUUAAAUAGGCAAGUUUUAUGAAUAUGUUAAUUUUAUUUGAAUUUCAAUCAUUUUUAAUUUAAUUAAUAAAUUUUAAGUGUUAUAUUAUUAUUAUUAUUAUUAUUGUGAUUAUUAUUUUUUAUUAAUAUUAUUAUUAGUAUUAUUAUUAUUAUACAUUAUUAUCAAUGAAUUUUGCGUAUUAGUAUUGCAUUGUCAAAUUCUAUUGUAUAAUAAAUAAAUAAAUAAACACAAUUAAAUCAAUUUAUAUAUAGAAAAUGAUUUUUUAUGAAAGGAUCUAUCAUAUCUCUCUUGUUCUAUUUUUAAAAUUUUAAAAUAAUGUUAUCAACAUAUAAUUCUAAAUUUGCUCUAUUUUAAUGAACGACAUUCUCAAUUUUGUCUCUUUUAUUUUUCUUUAUAUGUUCAUUUGUUUGCUUUAACUAGUUAAUGUGUUUAGCAAGUAACUUUUAUACAACUCAAGUUUUUAUAUUUUAGUCGAAUUAUUGUUAAUCAAUAAAUUUUUGUAACACUAACGGAGAUUCAAAAGAAUUUUACUUGGUUUAUUAAGAAACGUGUCAAUACAUAUAUGUAACUUGUUCAUUUAUUUUUUUUCUCUCUCUUAGUUUCGAGGACGAAACUAUUUAUAAGGGGGUAAGUAUUGUAACACUCCAAUAUUGUCAUAUAUAUUAUAUAUGCGUCUUUUAGGAAUUUUCGUAAUUGAUUAUUUAAUUAAUAUUUUAUUCUAUAUGUGAAGAAAUUAAAUUAAAAUUUAUCACUCUCUAAUUUACUUGAAUAAUUAUAACUUUUAUUUUUAUUUAAUUGUUUUGGUGCGAUAAUUACAUUAGAAUGAUUUAUAGCAUAAUUAUUUUCUAUGUGGACAACUCUGUAUUUUGUUUAUUUGAUUAGUUUUGAUAAUCAUGAAAUUGAUGUGUUAGAUACGUUGACUUAUUUUUUGUUAUAUGUGACCUGCAAUGAUAUUUUGUCUUACUUAAUUUAUUUUUGUUGAUUAAAACAUUAGUUGAAUUAUUUAAUUAAAUUACAAUUUAUAGAAUUUAUAUCGUUUAUUAAUUUUAUUUUAGCCCAAAUAAGUAUUCGACCUACACUACUAGAAUUCUGCAUUUUUCCUGCGGAUUUGCCUGCGGAUUUAAGCAAAUAUUCCGCAGGAAAGCAUGUUACCUGCGGAUUUCCCGGCGGAACCUUAUCCCCACGUAAAACCUUCGUGGAUAAUUGUUACCUGAGGAUUUCACUAUCCGCAGGUAAAUCACCUGCGGAUAAAUCCGCAGGAAAAUGAAAUAAAAUCCGCAGCAAAGUUUAAAAAAACUUUAGGCAAUUUUUUACGAUUUUUCAUGCAGAAAUAUUUGCAGCACAGUUCCUACAAAUAUAUUUCGUAUGAAAAUCUGCAGGUAUAUCCAUUGCACCAACCAUAUGUUUCGCAUUAAAAUCCGCAGGUAAUUUCGUAUAAAAAUAAUUUUCAAAAAAGAAUCCGCAUGCUUAAAUUUCCACAUUAAAUGAUUUUUUAUUUAUAUAAAAAUUUUAACUAAAAAUAUAUGAAAAUAUUAUUAUAAAUACAUUUUUAAAAUAUUUAAUAUUAAUCUUCAAUUGAAAUACUAUUGCAAUAAUCCAAAACAAAAUUUAUAUCAUGUUUUCAAAUCAAACAUGAUAUAAUGUCUAUAUACAAUGUCUUUUCAAUUGCCAAACUUCCUAAAUAUGAACUUCUUUUGGCUCCUUGGUUUGGAACCCCUUGUACUUUACCAAGUCCAGUGCUGUAGAAUUUCAAAUUGCCUGAUUUAUUGAUUUCAGUUUCUUUAGCAUCACCGAGCAACUUCACGCCCUGAAAUGGAGAUUGUGGUUUACUUCUGCAGGNNNNNNNNNNNNNNNNNNNNNNNNNNNNNNNNNNNNNNNNNNNNNNNNNNNNNNNNNNNNNNNNNNNNNNNNNNNNNNNNNNNNNNNNNNNNNNNNNNNNNNNNNNNNNNNNNNNNNNNNNNNNNNNNNNNNNNNNNNNNNNNNNNNNNNNNNNNNNNNNNNNNNNNNNNNNNNNNNNNNNNNNNNNNNNNNNNNNNNNNNNNNNNNNNNNNNNNNNNNNNNNNNNNNNNNNNNNNNNNNNNNNNNNNNNNNNNNNNNNNNNNNNNNNNNNNNNNNNNNNNNNNNNNNNNNNNNNNNNNNNNNNNNNNNNNNNNNNNNNNNNNNNNNNNNNNNNNNNNNNNNNNNNNNNNNNNNNNNNNNNNNNNNNNNNNNNNNNNNNNNNNNNNNNNNNNNNNNNNNNNNNNNNNNNNNNNNNNNNNNNNNNNNNNNNNNNNNNNNNNNNNNNNNNNNNNNNNNNNNNNNNNNNNNNNNNNNNNNNNNNNNNNNNNNNNNNNNNNNNNNNNNNNNNNNNNNNNNNNNNNNNNNNNNNNNNNNNNNNNNNNNNNNNNNNNNNNNNNNNNNNNNNNNNNNNNNNNNNNNNNNNNNNNNNNNNNNNNNNNNNNNNNNNNNNNNNNNNNNNNNNNNNNNNNNNNNNNNNNNNNNNNNNNNNNNNNNNNNNNNNNNNNNNNNNNNNNNNNNNNNNNNNNNNNNNNNNNNNNNNNNNNNNNNNNNNNNNNNNNNNNNNNNNNNNNNNNNNNNNNNNNNNNNNNNNNNNNNNNNNNNNNNNNNNNNNNNNNNNNNNNNNNNNNNNNNNNNNNNNNNNNNNNNNNNNNNNNNNNNNNNNNNNNNNNNNNNNNNNNNNNNNNNNNNNNNNNNNNNNNNNNNNNNNNNNNNNNNNNNNNNNNNNNNNNNNNNNNNNNNNNNNNNNNNNNNNNNNNNNNNNNNNNNNNNNNNNNNNNNNNNNNNNNNNNNNNNNNNNNNNNNNNNNNNNNNNNNNNNNNNNNNNNNNNNNNNNNNNNNNNNNNNNNNNNNNNNNNNNNNNNNNNNNNNNNNNNNNNNNNNNNNNNNNNNNNNNNNNNNNNNNNNNNNNNNNNNNNNNNNNNNNNNNNNNNNNNNNNNNNNNNNNNNNNNNNNNNNNNNNNNNNNNNNNNNNNNNNNNNNNNNNNNNNNNNNNNNNNNNNNNNNNNNNNNNNNNNNNNNNNNNNNNNNNNNNNNNNNNNNNNNNNNNNNNNNNNNNNNNNNNNNNNNNNNNNNNNNNNNNNNNNNNNNNNNNNNNNNNNNNNNNNNNNNNNNNNNNNNNNNNNNNNNNNNNNNNNNNNNNNNNNNNNNNNNNNNNNNNNNNNNNNNNNNNNNNNNNNNNNNNNNNNNNNNNNNNNNNNNNNNNNNNNNNNNNNNNNNNNNNNNNNNNNNNNNNNNNNNNNNNNNNNNNNNNNNNNNNNNNNNNNNNNNNNNNNNNNNNNNNNNNNNNNNNNNNNNNNNNNNNNNNNNNNNNNNNNNNNNNNNNNNNNNNNNNNNNNNNNNNNNNNNNNNNNNNNNNNNNNNNNNNNNNNNNNNNNNNNNNNNNNNNNNNNNNNNNNNNNNNNNNNNNNNNNNNNNNNNNNNNNNNNNNNNNNNNNNNNNNNNNNNNNNNNNNNNNNNNNNNNNNNNNNNNNNNNNNNNNNNNNNNNNNNNNNNNNNNNNNNNNNNNNNNNNNNNNNNNNNNNNNNNNNNNNNNNNNNNNNNNNNNNNNNNNNNNNNNNNNNNNNNNNNNNNNNNNNNNNNNNNNNNNNNNNNNNNNNNNNNNNNNNNNNNNNNNNNNNNNNNNNNNNNNNNNNNNNNNNNNNNNNNNNNNNNNNNNNNNNNNNNNNNNNNNNNNNNNNNNNNNNNNNNNNNNNNNNNNNNNNNNNNNNNNNNNNNNNNNNNNNNNNNNNNNNNNNNNNNNNNNNNNNNNNNNNNNNNNNNNNNNNNNNNNNNNNNNNNNNNNNNNNNNNNNNNNNNNNNNNNNNNNNNNNNNNNNNNNNNNNNNNNNNNNNNNNNNNNNNNNNNNNNNNNNNNNNNNNNNNNNNNNNNNNNNNNNNNNNNNNNNNNNNNNNNNNNNNNNNNNNNNNNNNNNNNNNNNNNNNNNNNNNNNNNNNNNNNNNNNNNNNNNNNNNNNNNNNNNNNNNNNNNNNNNNNNNNNNNNNNNNNNNNNNNNNNNNNNNNNNNNNNNNNNNNNNNNNNNNNNNNNNNNNNNNNNNNNNNNNNNNNNNNNNNNNNNNNNNNNNNNNNNNNNNNNNNNNNNNNNNNNNNNNNNNNNNNNNNNNNNNNNNNNNNNNNNNNNNNNNNNNNNNNNNNNNNNNNNNNNNNNNNNNNNNNNNNNNNNAUUAACUUCUAUAUUGCAAGCUCAUACAAAUCAUAAUUAAAAAAAAGAAGAAGAAAAAACUAAUAUGAGAAUCUGAAAUGAACAGCACACACUAAGUAGAUGCAAAUCAAACAUAAGUAAAACGAAAUAUGUGACAAGCGUAGGGAACUUUUAUCAGCACAAAAAGUAGAUGCAAGCAAACUGAAAGUAAAUAAUUCGUAAGAAGAAACGAAAUAUGUGAUAAGUACAGGCAAAUCAAACGAAAUCUGAGUGCAAGUAGCAACUUGAAAAAUAAAUCUAUGUGUUGAACAAACGAAAUCAAAGGAAAACUUACAAACGAAGAGCGGGAGGAUGAUGCGCGCGCGAUAGAUGAGAAGCGACGAGGCUACGAUGACUAUGGUUGAGAUGCGGUGGCGAGGUGUGACGGUGGUGAUUUGAGAUGCGACGGUGAUGUGUGAGAGUGGUGGGUUAAGAAUACGCGAGUGUGACGGUGUGAGGGUUUUGUUACGAUAGGCCUAAAUCGAGGGUUUUUUAUGAACAAUUUGUUUUAGAGUUAGCCCUAAAUUGUUAGUUAUGCAAAAAUAGGUCCUUGAUACAUUUCUUUUUUAGCAAAAUAUGUCUUUGUAACAAAAAAAAUUUCUUAAAAAUAUUGAAUAAUUUUAAUGUUUAUACAUGAUUUUUCUUUACUUUUUUAUAAACAAAUAUAAUAAUUAUAUUUUUUUGAGAAUUUUUAUAGUAAAUUUAAAAAUUAAUUUAUUUUAAUAUCAUCAAACUAAAUCGUGAAUGGUUAAAUAAUAUGUCAAUUAGUUUGACUAUAUUUUAAAUUUAAUAUCGUU
RNAcentral lists this long non-coding RNA (54129 nucleotides) under Cicer arietinum (chickpea). RNAcentral describes it as "long non-coding RNA (CARI_LNC001994)". Lineage: Eukaryota; Viridiplantae; Streptophyta; Magnoliopsida; Fabales; Fabaceae. The record is from RNAcentral.